UUCAAAAACUGUUUUAAAAUUUACACAGGGUAAUUGGCAAAACAUUAUUUUGUCUCAACAAUGAGACAAUUAGGAUUAACAACAAAUAUCUAUAGGUUUAUCAGAUUAAUGUGUUGAGCAAGAGCAGUGGCAAAAAUAUCUACCAUUAUCCACUACUUGAUCUUAAAAGUCUUAACACAAACCUUACUUCCGUUAGAACAUCAACAUCAAAACUUAAAGUUGAUAAAAGAUUGGACCUCACAACAAGGUUAUCGGUAUUCCUAGAAAGAACUGUCUACAUUACCCUGUCGAUAUUACAAUGCAUGUCUGAAAUAGUAGGGAAAAUAAAUAUAAUAAAAAAAAAGAUUGAACAACCUGCAGUACUUCAAGAGAAAUGGCUAAGAGAAUGGAUUGAAAUUUAAUUUUAGCACAGAUUGCAAUCCACACAAGACACUAUAAUUAGGUCACUACAAAGUUUGAGGACCAGGACUAUCAAUUCAGGACAUCCAUCAUAAGAUGGUUUAAACCACCUAAUCAAGGAUAUCCAGCUGAUUAAGUCCUAAAUACGAUGGAUCACUAACAUUAAGGAUUAAGCUCAUUUGUAUAUAUUUGCACUUCUACUAUUUCCUAAAAUAUAUGAUGCAUAAGGGGUGGCAUGUGCCCUUCUUAUGAUCUCUUUGUAUAGCAUGCUCUGCAGUCAGGCAUUAGAAAACUAACAAGAAUAAUAACAAAUAGCAGUAUUAGUUGCUCACCCUCAAGAUUAUCAGCGAGCCACUUGGAGUUUUUGGGACUGAUAUGACUAUCCCACCACCAGGAAUGUGAUUUCUUAGAUUCUGUCCUCUUCAGAUUCUUUUGUGACUUAACCUGAAAUAAAAACAAAUAAAAACCACAAUAUCAUACCAGACCUACAAAAUAGCCAACAUGCAUUCAGAUGUUCUUAUUGUGAAAAAAAUUAGGGGCAAGGGAAGCUUUCCAGGGUGUAGUUCAGCAGUAGUGAGACCUUUAACAAUGAUCUGCCCAUUAUUUAAGUGGGAAGCCUUCCAGGGUGUAGUUCAGUGGUAGUGAGACCUCUAACAAUGAUCUCACCAGUAUUUAAGUGGUGCGGAUGGGUGCAUAUCACCCAGGGGGGAUUUGCCUCGCAGGCACUUGGAAUAAAUGCCUCCCUGUUGGGGUGCAUUCUCUGUUCUAAAAUUUAAUAUAACCACAGCCAUAGAGUAAUCAGCAAAUUGUUACCAUCUAAGGUUUAGGAUUUAAGGAUUAGGGUUGUAAGAGAGAAGAAGAUUGCUAGUCAUAUCCUCAUUCACUGUGGGAAAGCAAGAGGACUGUGGCAUCUUUUGUUUUCAUCUUUUGGUAUCUCUAGGAUUCUCCUCAAUUUAGUGAGAAAGGCUCUUUUGUGCUGGCAUGAGAGUUCUUUGGGAAGAGAAGGAAAGUUUGGUGUUAGUUUUGGACCAUAUGGUGGGAAUGUAAUCAUAGAUCCUUUGAUGGUGUGAAGCAUUUGGAUCAGCCACUCAAAACACUCCCUCAAUUAUGCCCUCUUUCAAUUGUCCCUUGACUCCCAUCAGCCUCAACAUGAUAAUCCUUGAUCCUUGUUAGACUUCAUUGACUGGCUGGGCUUCAGGUAGUGUUUUGUUGAUCGUCAAUGCUGUUUUUGUUUCCUUUUGCAGCCCUUUGAAUACCCUGUGUACUUGGGGUGCACCAUUUCCUUCCAUUAGGCGCUUUUAUCAAUAUUGUUCUUACAUGUGCAUCAAAAGAAGUGGUUAAUUUCCCUUUUCCUUCCCCUCUUUCCUUGUUGAAAAGAAAACAAAGCAUAAAGUGAAGGAUGGGUGGAGCAUAAUGUAUUCUUGCUGCAUUAUUGCCACAUGAUGACUGUUCAUGUACUUGUCCUCUAUUGUGAACUUUCCAGGAUAUAGCAACACACAUUCUAUUCAACUAAUAGGUUACACAAAUCCCUGUUUGUUGAUUUAUUGGAUUUCAUACUCUACAUUCAAAUUGUCAAAUCCCAUGGAUUAUUUUCAUUUGUUGGGAUAGUGAAUUCUUGGAUGACCACAAAUUUAUUUGCUCUAUUUAUUUAUAAUUCUAAAUAUACAUACUUUCCCAUGUAAUAAUAGUUUUAGGAUGAGAGCACAAAUCCAAAGAAGCAUUAUCAAAGGUUCAUCCAAAUUGAAUGAGUAACCAAAAUAAUACUUAUGAAAUAUAUGUUGUUUUGCUUUCUUAAUUACAGUCAAGGUAAACAAUUUAAAGUGAGAAAGUGUAUACUAUAAAAAUUUAUGGAAAAUACUUGAGGGAGAUGCAUAAAUAAUUGUAGAAGAAAUGGAAACAAGAGACAGAAGGAGCAUACACAUCCAUAUAUCCCAAUUAGUUCCUUUUCUUACCAAGGAAGAAGCCAUGCUGCUAAGUUGGUGAAGUUUGAGAGUUGAUUUAGAGGGCUGGAUCCAAUAGACUCUCAGAGCUUUAUUUUGCAAUGUAUCUGCAGCUAGGCUUCAAUAACAAUACUCAAUCAGAGGCUAAUAUGCAACAUCAGAACAUCUAUAUUGAGAUUAUAAGUUUAAACUGGAAAAUGAUUUCAAAUGGAAGGUUCAUAAAUGAUGGCCACAUAAUUCAGAAUGGGCUUGUAUAACAUAACUUUUUCAUCUUUGAUGUGCUAGGAAGAACCUAACCCUAAAUGAUUAUUUCAUACUUAACUGAACUACAGAACUUUAAUUUCAGUUUAAGCACAAUGCACGUGAGUUCACAAUUACUAUUCCCACAAACUAUAUGAAAAGCCUGGCAUGGUACCAUCUAGCAUCCUACUAUUUUCAGAACUGUCAAUCUACAAUAAAAAAGAGUGAUUAAAAAUCAUCAAAGAAAGGCCUGAACAAGAAGUUUAAUAUUAUCGAAUCAUCAACUUAUUAUAAGUUAUUGAAAAAAAAUAAACAUUAUAAACAAAAACUGAAAUUGAUAAUAAAACCAUCAUGAAAAAGAAUGGAAAACUUAGAACAACGAGUCGGUUCCAGAGGCAAAACUUACAUUGAUACUUUUGUUGAUAGCAGAUUGAAAAAUGUAAAUCCAAGCUUCUCAGUUUAUAUCGACAAGGGGCUGAUAUCCGUUGAAGAAAGUGGCUGGAUCCUUUUGGAUUGGCGUCAGAAUUAAGUCAAUAACUACAGGUCGCCCAACCAACAACAGAAAGGUGUUAAAAAAAAGGGGGAAAAGAAAUAGGCAAGAAAAAACCACCAACAUGGAGCGUGACCCCACGCGCACAGAAAGCGCGCGGACUUGGCAUUUCUCUGGGGAUUAAUUUCUGCCUGAACCUUGAAAUUAAGACAACUGUCCAGGCGAGAGCUCCAGCUAUAUACACGCGUUUCAAGCACAAAACACCGACCCAAAAAUAAAAAUAAAAGUCAUAUAAAUUCUUGGACACAUGUAGAGAAACCAGAAAAUUGAUGGUAAAAGUGGAUAGAAAAAGAAUCUGUGAGUCUCUUCACCAUUAUACCUUACAAGAAUUGCUUUUGACUCCAGGUUCAAUUUGCAGACAGCGAUUGCGAAUCGCGGAAAAAUAAUCGAUUUCCAACUAAAACAUUCCAAAAAAAAAAAAAACCCAAUGGAGGGGACAUGUAGAACUAAGAAACCAGAAAAAUGAUGGUAAAACCGGUUAAAAAAAAGACUCAACAGUAGUAACAAGAUCAUUCCUGGCAAAAAUUGCUUUAAAUUUAAGUUCAAUUUGCAUAGAACUCGGUUGCGAAUCGUGAAAAACUAUUCGAUUUCCUACUAAAACAUUUCUAAAAAAAAAACAAUUAUUGGAGGACAUAAAAGAAGUAAGAAAAGGGAAAAAUGAUGGUAAAACCGAUUGGAAAAAGAGUCAACAGUCUCCACAAGAUCAUUCCUUGCAAAAACUGCUUUAAAUUUAAGUUAUUUCAGAAGCCUCGAUCGCGAAUCACGGAAAACUAUUCGAUUUUCCACUAAAACAUUCCUUAAAAAAAAGAAGUAAAAAUUCAAUGAUCUGUACUCCGCGAUCCUCCUCCGCACCAAACUUGAACAAAUAUCCAACGAAUAGGAUAAAAUGACGCACAUGACUAAAAUCCGAAGCAGAAAAACAAUCACAUUAUCAGAUUGGAUAUGAAAAUCGAAAAAUCGAAGAGCGUACCUUGAGCUGCCGCAAGAGCUUCAACAACAGCGAGUGUGUGGAGAUGAGAUGGAGAGAAAGGAAGAGGAAAUGGAGGUGGGAAAGAUGAAGUCUGAAUCCGAGUACUGAAGAAUGAAGUCAAAGACUUCCUUGCCUAUUUAUAGAUAAAAGAAACAAACAAAAGUGAGUGACCCCUCACUCUUCUUCUCCCUUUGGCCCUUUUCUCGUGAGUCGUGAAUCAGCUUCGGACCUCUCCUUCUCAACCCCUUUGCAACUUUACCUACUCAAAGGACCGUUUUGCCCUCGAUCCAUACUCUUAUUUCCCAAAAUACCUAAUAUUUCUUUGUUUUAUAAAUGACAAGGUAAAAGCGGGUUGUUUUUAAAAAGCAUAUUUUUGGGGGAAAAUCUUCGUUUAUCGCCUAAGUUUGUAUGCUUUUAUUUUUGAAAACAAAAACCAUUGCAGGCUGCCAAUUCUUACAAGAUCUUUCAAUCUAUUAAGUACUAUCAACUUCAAGCAAUCCCACAUGUAUGGGAAAAUUAAGAGGAUAUAUGGUACAUAAAGUGUCUAACAAGGAGGGUAUGAUCUAAGUCACAAAAAGCACUCAAGUUCCAUCAAAGUUAAUAAUAAAUAAAUAAAUAAAUAAAAUCUAUAUGCUAGGCAUAGUGGAUGAAACCAACCCUGAAGGAAAUAAUAGUAAAAGAAGAAAACUCACAUCUCUUAAACAUUUGACCAACUUUAAUUGUAUGGGAAGAAACCAAGCCACCUCAAAUAGAGGGGAACUAAACUUCAUAAAUCAAAAGACCAAUGAAAUUGGAUUUUUUGGUUAUCUCUCGAUUCUUCUUUUUCUUUGCACAAACAACAAUGGGUAAGGUUCACACAUGGUUUAUAAGAUGCUCUAAUAUAUGUUGAAGAGAAUAAAAAAUUGGAUAUAAUUUUUUUUUUUAUUAAUCUUAGGGAUUACAUGAAUAUUAUAUACACUUAAUUAAAACAAAAACAGAAAAUAAUUUGUCAAAGUUGCAUAUUCCUAAAUCCUAUUAAAGAAGCCUAAUCCAUGCUUUCCUAAACAAAUUUUGCUAUGGUUGAGCAACAAGGAACUACCUAGGAUCGAUAAACUUAGUACCCAAGGUUCACAAAUGAACUACCCUAAGCUCCAUUAAGGUAAUGCAUAAGGUUCACAAAGAUAGUACGUAAGGUGCAUUAAGGUAGUACCUAAGGUGCAUUAAGCCUUAGGUACACUAACGUAGUACCUUAGGUACAUUAAGGUAGAAUCUAAGAUACAAUAAGGUAGUACCUAAGAUGCAUUAAAGUAGUGCUUAAAGUGCAUUAAGGUAGUACUUAAGGUAAAUUAAGGUGAUACUUAAGGGCUAUUAAAGUAGUACAUAAGGUACAGUCUGCAAAAAAACAAAGGUGAAUCAAUUGAACACACAAAAUAAUCACAUAAUGACAUGCUCUAAGAGUCAUAAAGGAAGGUCCGAGGCUUCGAAUAGGUAAUAUCCAACUUUAACUAAGGUAGUACCUAAGGUCGGUUAAGGUAGUAUCUAAAGUAGAUUAAGGUGGUACCUAAAAGCUAUUAAGGUAAUACCUAAGAUACAGUUCGCAAAAAACCAAAGGUGAACCAAUUGAACAUACAAAAUAAUCACAUAAUGACAUGCUCUAAGGGUUAUAAAGGAAGGUCCGAGACUUUGGAUAUGUAGUACUCAACUUUAACUAAGGUAGUACCUAAGGUCGAUUAAGGUAGUACCUAAGGUAGAUUAAGGUGAUACCUAAGGUAGUACCUAAGAUACAAUACCCAAAAUAAUAAUGCAACUUACUACCAGAUAUGCUAUAAGUUCCAUUUGGAUUCAAUAUGACUUAUGGGUCAUAUGGUUAUUUGGGAAUAAUAUGGUUCCCACAACCCAACACAAAAGUUCAAGUCCACCAAUGACUCCAAAAUCAUUGAUGUGCUCCAUUUCAAAGAAAUGAACUAAAGAACAAUAAAUGAAAAUUAUUUACCAUCAUAUUUUGGUUUGGGGUUACGGAAAAAUGCAACUCAGUGACAGGAAGAGAUAUCUUGUUCACGAAGCCAAUAUUUUGGAUUCCACCUUUCCCAUUUCGGUACGCAUUGUUAUGGUAAAUUCAUAAUCACAGAUGUGCUUCUUGAAGUCGUCUUUUAACAACGUUUUUAGAAUGGAAUGUUCCAUUUCAUUGCACUUUUAUGUGGAUAAGAGAGAAACAUGCAGAUUGGAGUUUUGGAUUAAUGGUUUUUUCUCUCAAAUAAGACAAUUUUUAGGAAUUUUUAGAUGGGUCUCGAGAUCGUGUGGGUGAUGAAACCAAGAGAGACAGAGAAAUGCUCCCAAAUCAGAGAGAAGAAAAGUUUCAAAUUAGGGAAAUUACAACUGGUUGUUAGGUUGAGUGAUUUUUCAUAGGUUUUAAAUUCAGAUUUUUUUGUCUUAUUAAUUUUCAGUCUCUCAUGUGACAUGGAAGGCUUCCUGCUGAUAUGGAGAUAGGGUUGCAACUGACGUGGAGGUAUGAAUAGGCAAUCUAGGAACAUAAAAUGGAGUCAACAAAGAGUGCAUGAGAAAUAUAAUAUUUUCCCCUUGUCAAAUCUCGUAUUUCAGUUGAUUGGAGUUUGAUUGUCAUAUUACUUUCAAAUAGUCGGUCGCAAACACAACUUUUCCAUCUUUCAAUCUAUUUAUAUCUGAAAAAAUCCAAGUAAAAUUAUUGUUGGUCGUGAUCAUAACAUCAAAUAUUCUAUAGAUAAAUAAUAAUAAAUGAGGAAUAUAUGGCUAUAUAUUUGGAUAAAACUCAUAAAUGAGUCUUGAAAGCAUAAAAUUUAGUCCUAAAAGCCAAAAAGAAAAAAGAAAAAAGAAAAGAAAAAUCAGAUUAGAAAAACAAAUGAGAAGCUAAGCUUAAUUUAUUGCUGUAAUUGUGGCAUUUAAAGCAGCCCAACCGCCUUCCUUGUGGGAUGUAGCCAAACAAAAAAAUCCCAUUAGGCAAAAUGCAUCACUACCAUUUCACAUUAUUACACAACCAACUUCACCAUCCACGUGGAUAUAUAGGGGCUGUGUUUGGCCGCAUUUUCAAUAUGUUAGCCAAUCUUUAAGGAGUAUGGUCAAUAGUAUAUAUUAAAUUUAUAUGAAUUUAUUAGAAGCUUCUCAAUAUGAUUAUAUUGGUUUAGAUUAUUUUAAAUGUUGUUGAGAAAAAUAUAUAUUUAUUAAUUUAUUUGAGUUAUAAUUUUCUCGUACCAUGUCUCUCCUGCAACAUUGUUUGGAUUCGCAUAUUAACAUAAUAAGAAACAUAUGAAAGUGAUUUGAUACUAUGUUGAUCCAAAGCUUUAAGGUGAUGUUUAUUUUUUUGGUUUUUUGCUGAAAAUAAUUUGUUUUCAGAAUUUAAGUUAUUUGUUUUUUUACUUUUUUUUUCAUAAUUUAUUAUAAAUUUUUCAUUAAAUAGAAAAAACCAAAAUAUAUAGUUUUUUUUUAAAUAGAAAAAAUAACAUAUUGUUUUUUCUUUACUUUUUAAUACUUAAUAGAAAUGAAAUACUACAAAAACAAACAAUAUAAUAUUUAACACUAUUAAACGUUAAGGUUCUAUUUAAAAUUAAAUAAAAAAAUAAACACUACCUAAAUUGUUAGGAAGAUGCAAUCAUAUAUAUUAAAUUUAUAUGAACGUAACACCCUAUCUUUCACUCAUGUGGCUCAAUAAUAACUAUAGUUGUGUUUACAUAAAUGUCAACAAAUUGUAUCAAAGUAGUUGUUCAAGAUUUGGAUUAUGUAUUAGAAAAAAAAAAAAUCAUUAUCAUAAAAAUUAAAACCAGCCAUGUAAGGAUAUUGAUUCAUUUUUUUUGACGUAGUAUUAUGAUUUUCCUUUGUUCAUAUUCCUACUCUUGUUAUUAUUUCCGCAUAUUAAACAUAUCCUUAAGUUAUGUUUAGAAUAUUAGAAUAGAGAAUAAGAAUAGCAUGUCAAUUCCAUUUACCAUUCAUUAAUUGUUUGAAUUGUUUUCUAGAAUGAGAAUGAGAACAAAAAUGAAAAUUUAAAAUAUCACUCUUGAUAUGAUUUCAAUUUCCUCUUCCAUGAUUCAUUUUCAAGUUUAUUCCAAUAUACCAAACACACCCUUAAACCUAUAAACUAACAAGGGAACCAAAGGGGAGAAUAAAUCAGGCAAAUCAGGGGCUUGGGCCUAGUAAUCCACACUUGAUGAUACAUGAAGCUCAAGCCAGCUAGCAAAUGCCCAAAACUCAAAAUCAUGAUUAUGCAUUAAAGUUGCUUCCAAACAUGCCAUCUACCAAUAAUUAAGCCCUUUAAGAAACAAUAGAAUGAGAACACACCCAGAAAAGGAAUAGCCCAUCCUUCUGCAAAACCUCCAUAUAUUAAACAUCUUUCCACAAAGACAGCCAUGAUGGGGGGCCACCAGAGUCCAUAACCUCCUAUAAUGGAGUGUAGACACAGCUCACCAAAGACUGCAAUCAUGUUCCAGUUCUUGAAAGCAGCAUUAUACCAAAUCACGUCCAGGUGAUUCAUGUCUCUCAAGUGUAAGGCCCCAUCCACCAGUGGGCACAUCAUGUUGAGCUUAUUGCAUGAAUGGCCUGGCCUUUGGUUCCAAAAGUUUUUAUCUCCAAGUGGUAGUUCUGAGUCUAAUUGAAAAGGGAUAGGUGUUUGAAUAUGAAACUAGAGGGAAAAGGAAUUAAUGCUUGUUAAUUGAGGUAGGAUGUAUAGCAACUGUCAUUCAGUUAAAAAAUUAAAUGAUAAUCUAAUUAUAAACUCAAUAAUUAAGUAAAGAUAAACAAGAAAGAAAGAGUUGAAGGAGUGGAGGUGUAAGAAGUUGGAAUGGCUCUGGUGCUGAUCCACCUGGUCCUAAUACAAUUCUCACAUGGGGGUGACUGCAAUCUGACAUGUCUCAUAAUGGAAAGGUAGCUUACUACUCUCUAUCUGAAGCCAGCAUAUGCAUAUUCACUCACAGGUGACACUAAUGAGAUGGUAGAGCAGCAGGAUGAUUGUGUCACCAUCUGAGUUGUUUGUUUGGGAGAGUGAUCGAAGUCCCUUUUUCCUCGGCUCUUGUUAUGCUCGUGGGCUUUCUAGCUAACGCUGCAGCUGAAUAUUGAAAGAUAAAGAUAAAUAGAUAAGUAGAAGAACAAGUGAGCACUGUUGUCCUUCAUCUGACCAGCUCCCAUAGUAAAAUAAUGAAGUAGGUAGUUUACAGGUCAGAACGAGUAAACUAUAUUAAUCGUCUUGAAGAAACGAACUUCCAACUUCCGUUGUAGUCUAGUUGGUUAGGAUACUCGGCUCUCACCCGAGAGACCCGGGUUCAAGUCCCGGCAACGGAACAUAUUUUUCCCUGGACAUUUGUUUGAUUGAAAGAAUGCAUGAAUAAACCAAACAUGUUUCACCACAAAUGUUCCUUCUAUACUACUUUUUACAUUCAUUUUUAGUUGCACAUUUGCUUGGUUCAAAGAAUGCGUGAAUUGGCAGGGUAUCAUGAAAUUUGUAACAUAGUAUAAACCACUUAUCAACCGUGCCUUAUGCAUAGAGAACAAUACUAGCAAUGCCACAGAUGUUUCCAGGGGAGUAGUAUGGAAGGUCAUGUGUCAAAUUCCACUGGAAGAACAAGAGGAGGUUGUAACUUUAAUUCUUUCGAGUCCAAUUAAUAGAGAAUCAAUCCCUUCAAAUACGAUUAAUAAGAAAGCUUGGGCACUGGAAAAAAUCAUGGAAGAUGGUCCAAAGGGCUGCCUCCAAUUUAAUUGGAACACAAACAACACCCAAUAGAUCCAAGGAUGAGGCAGCGGAAAAAGAAUUGGCUUCGACUGUGGCGAUGCACUUAUUAACAUAUAUAAUUCUCACACACACCCACACCAUGAAUUCCACAAUGUAAAAUGGGUGUCAGAUCAUAUAACGAAGCAAAUAUAAAGCCUGCUCAAAGUAAACAUUCACACCUUCUACAUCAUCCAUAUCCAUAUACCCCACGACUAAAAGGAUUUUAUAGCAUAUUCAACUUCCAGUCAAAAUCGGCUUCAACCGGCCAUAGCCAUAGAGGUGUGUGAUAAACAUAAAACCAUACAUGAAGGGGUCUCAAAAGUCUUCUCAUCAACUCCAAAAAUGGUGAAAGGAUAACUGCCCAAAUCAUGUUCCAGUAUUCCGCCGACCAACACGAGCCACAAAACCAGCCUUGAUUGGAGCAACUGAUCGCCCAGAGCCGCACUGCAUGCAUGCACAUACAAAUCAAACAAUAAGAUGCCUUAUCUUAGAAAUUGAAAACAGCAUAUGAUCUCUUAAGCCCUAAAAAUGGCCCAACCAUGACCCAACCACAAGCUUCCAAGUUGGUGUAUGAUAAAACGGUAGCAAGUUUAAGAGAACCAAUGCAAACCUAGAUCAGCCGUGCAUCAUUGAUCAACAUGCUAAAUUUAUCCAUCUAGAUGUGAGAACAUUUACUAUUACACAAACCAUGAUGGGGAUUUUCUGACGUUAAAAAAGCAUCAACACUAGAGAAUAUUUACACAUUCACUAACCAACAAAAGGGGAGUAUUUUCAACAAGGCCUCAGAACAAUUCAUCGUCCUCUUCAUGAUAAGGAGAUCAGACAAUGUAGGCAAAUUCUUUUAAUCAUCACAGGCCCACUCAACAGAAAGAUUCGGUCAUACAAAGUGGUUCUCCUAAGAAAAAAAGCCUCCCAUAAUUCAAUACUAUAGAUUCUUCUAGGAUUCUUUCUUUCGUGAGUAAUGCAAAUGCAGACUAGGCAAAACAUGGCCACAGCAAAGAAUCAUCUUUUAUGAGCCACAUGAUGAGUUGCCAUAGGUGAAAACUCAGAAAAGAUGAAUAAAAAAACAUCAACGCUAGAGAAUAUUUGCAUUCACUAACCAACAUAAGGAGUAUUUUCAACAAGGCCUCAGGACAAUUCAUCGUUCCAUCGUUCCUCUUCAUGAUAAGAAGGAUCAGACGAUGUAGGCAAAUUCUUUUAGUCAUCACAGGCCGACCCAACAAAAUAUUUGAUCAUACAAAGCAGUUCUAAUAAAAAAAGCCAACCAUAAUUCAAUACUAGCUUCUUCUAGGAAGCUUUCUUUCAUGGGUAAUGCAAAUGCAGACUAGGCAAAACAUGGGCACGGUAAAGAAUCAUCUUUUAUGAGCCACAUGAUGAGUUGCCAUAGGUGAAAACCCAGGAAAGAUGAAUAAAUUUUAAAAUGUUUAGAACUAAACCCAACCAACAGAAGAGUGUUCCCUUGAUUAGAAAGCCAACAAGUUCUUGAAAGAAACUUCACUUCAUUGUAACCAAUCCAAGAGAAAUUUAACAUCACAGAACCAUCCAAGAUUCCAGUGGAUGGUUAGAAAUUGAAUCCAUUCUAUAAUUCAGAACCACCCUUAGAUAAUUGAAUAUUGUUGUCUUUGAAGACCAUUCAUUUAAUAUUACUAAGAAUAAAGCAAAUACCAGUACAGAAAGAAAUUCCUUAAUAUAAAUAACCUAGGAGAUGGAGAGAAAGAAACAGUGCAACCAGAGGGUAUAGGGACCAUAAAUUACCUGCUCGCAUCUGAGAAAGAAGAGACGAUUCUCCUUUGAAAGAAUUGUGUCCGGACUUUUGCACCCAAGGCAUAUUACAUACUCAUCUGGACACACCAAAUAGCCAUCAAAAGAGUUAAGAAUGUCAUAGGCUACAAGAAACAUCCAUGUGUCCAUCAUGGCAGCAAAAAUUUUGGAUCUUAGGCAGAUAUUUGGUAUAGAACACCAACCAUAAAACGCUUCAAAAACCUUCACCAAGCUACUCCAUGUCAACCAGCACAUAAUGAUUGGCAGAAAACAGUAUAUCUAUAAAUGCACAUAAAUAAGAACCCGUUUGGCAAUGAUUCAAAGAAACGCUUCUAACCUUUCUAACACUUCAAAAUUUUUAUCAUUCAAUUGUUAGAAAGGUUAGAAAAGUUUUCUAAAAUCAGUGCCAAACAUGCUCUAAGACUGGGAAGAGGUUUAUAUGUUUAUUGUUGUGGCAGGACAAGAAGUAGAACAAACCUGUUCCAUCUUUAAGUUCCACGUUGCUACUAAAAGCUAAAGAAGUGCUAUCAGAUUUGUGCGGUAAACUGGAGAGUACUACUCAGCCAGUCUGACUAAAACAUGGAUUGCCAUCUAAGCAUCAGAAUAGUAUGACCCUGGAGGUCUUCCAAACAAUCUCAAGUUUAUCAAAUUUAUCCAAAAUUUGAGGAUGGUACUUGGUACGGCUUGAAGCAAGCACCUCAAGAGUACAGCAUUUCACAGAAAGCAUUGAACUUAUUAACAUUUUCUUCUCUAUACAAGAGCCCUCUCAUUUAUCCUGUCUCCACCAUGGCUGACUUUAUGGGGACACAGCUGAAUUUCUGAAUGUGUAUUCAUGCAUUACUGGUAUUCCUCUUAGAGAAUAUCCAUCUCUUAUAGAUCAUUAACACAAUAAAUCAAAUCAUAAUCAAAUACUUACUGAUAUAUCUUCGCAAGAUCCCUUCAAAAUUCUUUGGUGCAAAUCUUCCCUUCACAACUAAUCUUUGCUGUCCAUCAAGCGAUCCACUUGUCCCAAGUUCAGCCAGCAAGAAGGCCAUGACAUGAUCUGGCUGCCUAUGCAUCCUGAAAAAUAAGAAAAAGAUAGGCAGGUUAAAUUUUGAUAUUUUGCUUGCCAGAACAAUUUCCUAGGAAAACAACUUCAAACAACAUCUAGAUCCAAACAUAUAAACAACAUCACAAUCAAUGAACUAGAUUGCAGAACAAGGUAAAACAAGAAUUCAGAACAAGUGAAUUGGAACAAAUUGCUAAAGAUUAUACAUGAAUUAACAAGAAUUCCCACUAUGACCCUAAAACUUUUUGCAAAAAAUUCCCCGAUGAAAAUAUAUUGAUAAGAGGCAGUCAUGGAGUAGUUCAUGUCUCAAAAGGAAAGCCAAGGCCCAAACACAGACAUUGGAAUCAUACAUUGUAUGAGGAAUAUCAGAUGUAGCAAAUCCCCAAAUCAAGAAAAGGAAAAAGGAUGCAAUAGGUACAGCUUAUUAUCCCCACACCGACACUCCUUCCCAUGCUCUCUCCACCUUUCUGCUAAUCAAUAAUAAUUGUGGAAACAUAUCUUGCAAAGCAGUAGAAAACAAUAUUCACUAGUGAUUAUUAUUCACCAUUCUGCACAUUCCUUGUUCAUAAAUUUAAAAACCACCGAAAAUGCAAAAACAUUCUUAGUUUAGAGGACAUACAAAAUUACCACCGAAAUACAAAUUAGCCAAUAAAUAUUAAAUUCCUAAAAACCAUGAACUUGUUUUCUUAUAGACAUGAUCCAAAUUGGUAAUAAUAUUACACAAUAGAGUUUAUUAAUUAAAGUCCUUUUCUAUAGGAAGCCCCCUUUACACACACACACAUUACAAAUGCACAUGUGAGAACACACCAUCGGUAAAAUACCAAUGCAUUCCUGACAUAUAGAGUAUCCCUACAAACGAGCAGCUGUUAUUCGAACCAAAGGGAAGUCCACUGCAUGCAAAGUGGGAACACAAUAAAAUAUUUGCAUACUAAAAUGAGCUCAAAUCAACCUGAUGCAACCUAGGGCAGUAAAAUGAUAAACCAAACCACAUAAAGCUCCUCCACAAGAUAUGAUUCCCCCCUCCCCCACCAACAUAAACAACAAGCAAAAACAUAUAUGCAUCCAAAGACAUCCACAGAACAUCAGAAUAGACACAAGUUAAUAUUCAAAGGAGCUGAAUGAAAUUUUAAUGGGUGUAUUCUUAAUGGAAAGAAUGAAAUUAUCCAGUGCAAAUACAGUCUUGCUAGAGCAACAGAAAUCUUGCUAAUUAAAUAUAUAUAUAAAAUAGAUGAAGCAAAAUAACAUGAGCAUACGUCUUGCACAGAUCCAUGAAGUUCACAAAAACAGUUUUCUUUGUGCCUUCACGAAGGACUUGUGGGGGCCUCAUAACUGUUCUCCUCCUAUCUCCAGCAAGCUCUGGAUUAUUCUCCCGAAGAAUGUUAAACACCCUACCAAGAAGCUGCACAGUACAAAAAGGGUCAAUAUCCUACAAGGACUGCAUCAUGGUACUAAUACAACAUGAAUAAUAAUUUGGUAAAAAUAAAUAAAUGAAGAAAGGCAUAUUAUCAUAGAAUAAAUAAUAUCAAAUCAAGGAUUAAAAUUGCCUCCAAGCCAAUUAACAAAAAGUGCUUCAAACAUUAAAACCCCCUACAGUCCAAUCAAACUCAACUAGCUGUAAACUUACAAACCUUAACCAUCCAGCAUGCUAAGUGCCAGAAGAUGUUAAACUACUAAUUAUGAUCAUAAUAUUAAGGACACCCAACUCAAAAAACCUUUAUUCACACUAUCUGGAAAAAAAAAAUCCUAAUCAAGUUAAAAUCAAACACAUACCUCCUCAUAUUUGUAGUCUCGGUCACUUCCUUCCCAAGGAUACCGUGGUUGUAGGACAAUGCCUUCUCCUUCUUCAUCCUCACCAUUAUGAUCUAAAAGGGUAGAGAGAACCGUAUCUUUAAAAUUCAAUUUAAGAAUGUUAACAUAGCAAAUUUUUACUUUCAGUUUCAGAUAUAUAUGCCCUUAGAAUGCUACUCUCCUUCCAACAUAGCAUAUUUUUUUAGUUUUUAUUUCUGUAAUACAUUUUCUAUUGGAGGCUCUAAAAAUUACACUUCUUACCAUCCAAAUCUUCCUUGCCAUCCCCACCAUCGUCAUUUAAGAUAUCAGUUUCUACCUACAAAAUAACUCCAAGAAUUAUAUAUCAAUUGCUGCUGAAGAUGCACUAUUAACAAAACUCAAAUUGUUAAUUGAAAAUGCCAAUCCCACAUACAGGUUUCUUCUUCUUCUUUUUCAUACCAGAGAAGGUAUUUUCAACCCCUUCAGAAACUGCAGGUGAAGAAAGGUAAGUCCCCAAUAAAAAGUAAUGUGUGCUAGCAUUUUACAAAUACUUGGAAAAAAAAAAAACCGAAUCAUAAAAACUAAGAAAUAACUUUGUCAAACAGCCAAUCACAGUUAACCAUACAUACCUGACAAGCUUUCGGUUUUUUCAGCCAACUUAUCCACAGAAUCAUCUGCAGGGUCCUGAAUUACAACCUUCUUCUUCUUCUUCUUCUUAGUAGGAUCGAAAGGGGCAAGCUACAGAGCAACAAUCCGUUUGAAAAUGAAUUGUACAUGCAGGUAUAAUUAUAGGUUAAAUAUUAAAAGACUGAAACUUACUUCUGCCACUUCAUCCUUCACUUCAUUUUGAUUUUCGUCUGCCAUGAUUGAACCAAAAUCUGUAGGGAAAGUAAAACUAAACAAAUAAACCUAAUUUUCCUGAAGCAUCCCAUCCAAAGCUCUAUCGAUUGGCAAAUAACAUUAUCACAAUCAAACAAAACAACCUAAUUCGAGAUACCCAUUUUCUUAAUUAAUAAAAACCCUAACCCCACAAUAUACAAUUAAAAAAAAGGAAAUGAACUCCUCCUCCCUAAUCCAAACGGAUCGUAAGCCCUCAACUCAUCCCACAAUGCAAACAUUUGAGAAAUCCAUGUAACGCAUAUGAAAUAUACAAUCAAACCUCAUCGAGGACAGCAGAAUUCACUUAAGAUCUAAACCAUCGAUUUACAUAAUAAAAACAAAGCAUCAAAACACCACAAAUACCAAGAACAACGAACAGAUAAAAUCAAAUCAAAACAUGGCAACUAUUGAAAAGUCCACCGGCGUAACCCUAACCCUUAUUUGCAGAGUAGAAAGAAGAAAAAGGAGACCAAGAUUAAGAAGGAUAACGAAGGCGUACAUCUGAGAUUGUAUGGCUUUGCGCUUAUCUGUCUGACGCUGCUAUCGGCUCCGACUAGGGUUUCAAUUUCAGAUUGUAUAAGUAACCACUCUUCAAGCUACCGCUAUAGCCAUUUAUAGCUCCCCUACUGACUACGCCAUGAACUGGCCUAGGCCCAUCGGCCCGUUUAUUUUAUAAUUGGGCCUGGCCUGUUUAUUUAGUUAGGCCACCAGGAUCUGGAGCCUUGGUCUGUUGGACUGUUUAUACAGACUAGAAAAAACAACACACGAAGGCAGAUCAGAAGAGGAGAAGACAGCAGAUGCGUCCGUGGAGGCCAUCAAUUUCUUUUCCGGCCUACUUUCUGGAAUUGAAACAGAGCUAAUGUACAUGAUGAAGAUCUACAGAGAGAGAUGUAAGGUGAUGGGUAUGAACUUGAAGCAGCCCAUUUAUAGUCCCUCUCAUGAUCUCAUUGUUGGUUAAAAAUAAUGUCAUUAAAAUUUUUAAUUAUAUUAUUUAUAUUUAUUUGACCAAAGUAGUCAAGUUGGACUUUCCAUUUCCUUGGCCGUCACGUCGCGCCUAUUUGUUUCUUGCGGAACAAGGACAGGGACUGCAUCUCGCUGGCAAGCAUUUACAUUUCGGAUUCACUAUUGUUGAAAAAAAUUAGAGAAAUUCAUUCCUUCGAGGUUUUUAAAUAGGUAAAAUUAUCAUUUUUCCUUGUGGAUUGAUCUUUGUUCUAAAGUUCUGGACUUCAUUUAAAAAAAAAAAAAAAAAGAGUAACGACGAAUAAAAAUAUUAAAAAUAAAUCAUUUCUUUAAAGUACUAGUGAGGGUUUUUUUUUUCUUCCAAUUUUAAAUUUAUUUUAGUCAUGUUCAACCGGAUACUCUAUAAUAAUUUUAUACAAAAAAAAAAAAAAAAAGCUUAUGAAAGCGUUACAAACCUCUUUAAUUUAAAGCUCCAAACAUCUGGUGAUUAAUAAUAACAAUUAUCAUAAAUAAAUAAAAGAAUAUAUAAACAUUUCUUUUCUUUUUUGGUCUUGAACAUGGAAUUUUCAGAAUGAGAAGAAAUUAUAUAUAUAUGUAUUAAAAUAUAAAAUUAAUAUACUUAUGAUUUAUAAAAUGACAUAUUAAUAUUAUUAUAAAUCAAAAUUUGAUCUGGAAACUCAUAUUCUUGGGUAAGUGUGAAAUGGGAUCAUUUAAUUUAUUAUAAUAUGAAGCUUUUAUUAAGUUUAAUAAAAAUAUUUUCACUAAAUCUUGGUUUGGACUCUAGAUAGCAUAUUCAACUUCCAGACCCACCAGCCUUGAUUGGAGCAACUGGUCGCCCAGAGCCACACUGCAUGCAUGCACAUACAAAUCAAACAAUAAGAUGCCUCAUCAAACAGCAUAUGAUCUCUUAAAGCCCUAAAAAUGGCACAACCAUGACCCAACCACAAGCUUCCAAGUUGGUAGCAAGUUUAAGAGAAGCAAUGCAAACCUAGAUCAGUCCUGCAUCAUUGAUCAACAUGCUAAAUUUAUCCAUCUAGAUGUGAGAACAUUUACUACUACACAAACCAUGAUGGGAUUUGCCGACAUUAAAAAAGCGUCAACACUAGAGAAUAUUUACAGAGUCACUAACCAACAAAAGGGGAUAGUAUUUUCAGCAAGGCCUCAGAGCAAUUCAUCGUUCCUCUUCGUAGCAAAAAAUACAAUAAAAACCAAAAUAUCAGGAAAGCAAGACUGUCACGCCCCAAGACCCACUCCAAGGGCGUGACGGUCAUUUCACACCUCAAACCCGAAGGCUUAAAGAAUAAUCUGACCCAAACAGUCAUAUUGUAACUGGAUGAUACCAAUUACCAAAUACCUGCUCAGAGUAGCGGAAACAAAAUCUAAAAUCCUCAAAGUUCAAUUUCCAAAUAACUUCCAAAUACCAAAAGAUCCAAAAUAACAUAACUAAUAGUUAAACAAAAUCCAACAUAAAAUCCUAAGUCAAAUCCUAAUGAUGACCAUUCCUCAGCCUAGCCAUCACUCCUCACCCGAACUAAGAGUACCUGAAAAAUUUUCAACAACUGGGAAUGAGCUCACAGCCCAAUAAGGAAUAUUAAUGCAAUUCAUGGAUCAAAUAUUUUCAUUUCAAAUAGGAGAUAUCAAUUUUUUUUUUCUCAUCAAAUAUCAGAGUUUCAAAAAUACCAAUAUAUUCAAAAUUCAACCAACCAAUUUCAUAUCAAAUUCAAACACUUUCACAUCAGACUCAAUCAAAUCCAUUCAAUUUUUCAUUACUCUGGUUAUCAAAUGUCAAAUGCCCAGUUAGGUGGGACUUUUCAAAUGGGUGGCUAGCCUCAAAUUGUUCCUGGUGGACGGAACCAAACACUACUAGUACUAGUAACCUCUAACCGAAACCCCUAGAGGCUGGGGUCCAAAUCAAUUACAUUCCCACCAUGAAAUGUAAAUGUCAACUAUUAUAUCCCGUUAACAGGGCCGAAUAGUCAACUAUUAUAUCCCGUUGACAAGGGCCAAAUAAACCAGAAUGAUGUUUUUGUUCAAGUAUUCAAAUUUACACAACAUAAUAUCUUCAUAUUUUGUGUCAUAAAUAAAACAAAAUAUUCCAACAUAAUAUUUAGUGCAAAACAGUUUGAUCCAUGCAUGAUAACAAAAUAUCAUUUUCUUUUCCACAAUUCAAAAUAACAUAUAAAAUAAUUUAAUUUUAUAAAUAUUACAUUAACUUCCCUUACCUCAAAAGAAGUCCUUGAAAGCUUGGGAGAAGAAUAAUUCUGAAAAAAUAUAAUCUACUCUUCACCUAAUAUAACAUAAGAGAAACAAUUAUUACUAUUUAUUUAUGAUUUAACUAAUCUAUUCCUUAUUUAAAAAAACUAAUAAAUUCCCAAUUUGUUUCUAAUAACACCUUACUAAUUGAAUUAAAUUAUAACUUUAUUUCGUUAUAAAAUUCUAUAUAUAUAUAUUGCUAAAUCUCUUAUUCUAUUUAUUACAAAAAUACCAUUAUUACUAUUAUCUUAUUUAUAAAUCUAAAACUAAAUAUUAUUAUUUUAAUUAAUCAAUUCAAAAGCCACUCAAUGUCUCGGGUAUACCAAACAAAACCAAAAAAACAACUUUUUUUUUUUUUUUUCAUUUCCAUCAAGAUAUAAGCCAAGCCCCUUUUUCCCCACUGGAAAUUGGUGAGAAAAAACCAUUCACCCCACUGGUGGAUGAGAAAUUAUAUAUAUAUAUAUAUAUAUAAAGGCUCAUGUCUCGGGUACACCAAACCAAACAAAAAAAAAAGCAAGUUUAGUUUUUUUUUUUUUUCCUUUCAUUGCCAUCAUCAUGCUUUAUAUAUAUAUAUAUAUAUAUAUAUAUAUAUAUAAAGGCUCCUUCCAGCACAGUACACGUCUGUGCACACGCGUUCUCCCUUUCUUUUUUUUUUUUCUUUCUUUUUUUUUUUUUAACAUUUUCUAAUCUCUUCAACCACAAAUAACAAUAUAUUUAUUUAUUUAUUUUUAUAUAAAAUUAACCCUAACCUAAAAUCAAAACCUUCCAAGGAAAUUUUUUUUUUUUCUAAUAAAACUUAAGAUCUCCCAAAUUCCAAUACUAAAAUCAAAAUCUUAGAUUUUCACUAUUUGAUAUUAAAACGAAUUAAAAAAAAAAUAAUCUAACCCUAAUCUAGAUUUGGGGUUUUCCAAAAAAAUAUAUCUAAUGUGUUUGAAAUUAAUCAAUAAAUCUAAAAUAUUAAACUAGGGGUUAGAAUCUUACCUAUAGAGAUCUGUUCUUCAACCCUGAAAUCUGACUCCAACUUUACGUUCUCUGGAAUUCUGCGAACAGGAACUCUAUUCAGAAAAGAAAGGAAAGAAUAAAAUUUCUAAUUUAUACCUAGGGUAUUUAUUAGUAAAAUUACACUUUUACCCCUCUUCCACUUUAUUAAAUUAAUUAAUUAACUAAUUAAAUUAUUAAUAACAAUUUCCUAAAUUACCCUUAAAAGAAAUGCCUGGGCGUUACAAAGACAACGAAGUACUCGAAUGAGAAAUUCAAGUAUAAAAAACAUGCACAUUUGAAUAGUAGAAAGAUGGUUGUUGGGUUGUUGCAUCUCCAAAGUAUACCGAAUAGAAACUGGUGCACAUGCUCAAGUGGUGACCACAUGGACAAGGAGAGCAGUGUGGUAGAAAACUCUAAAUCUCAAAAAGUUGAAAGAAACAUAACAACGGCUGCAAGUCAAUAAUCAUGGAGUAAAAAUAGAGCACUUGUAAAAUGCUUGAAAAUUUUCCUUUUUGUUCCUAAAAAUUAUGGAUGGAUUAUAACUAGCCACUUUUAUAGAUAGAAAUAAGAUAGACAGCUUUAGAGAGAGGGUCCAUAUUUCGAUAUGGUUAUUUAAGUUGUAAUUUUGUGUCAUAUAUUAUUAUAUGAUUAUAAUGAAGAUAUUUUUUUUUAAUAAGUGAUUGAGGAUUUUUGUCUUAUAGUUAUGUUUGUUGUGUGAAGACUUUUCAGUUGUUUCUUAUAUUAUUAUUGAUUUCUUGCUUUUGAAUUUUACGAAAAUAAGGUAAAAUUAUUGUAGACCCCAUUUUGGGGCUUUUUUCUAUAGGUUAUUUUUGCCAAGUGGAGGUCUAUUUUAGAGCCAUGUGCUAUCCCAAGAAAGGUUGUGGGAGAAUCAUGCUAGUGGUUUAAGGAUGCAAUGGGGAAAUGACACCUAUUAUGGAAUAUCCUGAAGGGAGUGAGGCUGUUAGAGAGGAAGUGAUUUUGUUGCUGGUUAGAGAGAAGGAUGAGGGUAUUCUAUUUAAGGAGAGAUAUUCCUUUAGGCGAGCUGGUUACAGAUGGGGUAAUGAGGGUAGCUUGGGGAAAAAGAAAAGGAGGGGCAAGAUAUUUUUUUAGGCUUAGGGGGGUAAGCCAGAGAAAAAAAGGAAGGAGGAUAUUUUUCUGGGUGGUUAGAGAGGAGUGGGUGGCUUUGGGGAGCAAGUUUUUUUUUUUUUUUAGGAGUUGCAGGCUGGUUACAGGAAAAAAGAAUGAAGCUUGAGGAAAAAGAUAGCUGACAGGAGAGAGUUGAAGCUGAAGAGCAGAGAUUUCUAGACUGGUUCUUGGAAAGGAAAGGGAGCUUAAUGACCAUUAAAUCGAGUUCGAAGAGACACUCCAGGUAUGUUCAUUGUGAGCUAUGUAAUUUUAUCAUUUUGGAUGCUAUUUUAUUGGAUGUUUUUAGGUCGUUUAAGCACCUUUGCCGCUGAUUCUCCCUCUAUUUCAUUGAUUUUUCAUUUGGCGUUCAAAGUCGUUGUUCAUUUUAGUUCGACGUUCAGAGUCAUACCUUCAAUUCGGUGUUCAGAGCCGCAUUUUCAUUUCAACAUCCAGAGCCAUCACAUUUUUCGCUUGGCGUUCAAAGCCGUUUUUUCCAUUUGGCGUUUAGAGCCAUGUCUUUAGUUCAACAUUCAGAGCCGCAUCUUCAGUUUGGCGUUCAGAGUCGUCGUUUGUCUUUAGCUUAAUAUCCAGAUCCAUCGCAUCUUCUUUUGGUUUGGCAUUUAGAGCCACAUCUUCAGUUUAGCGUGUAGAGCCACAUUUUUAGUUUGGAGUUUAGAGCCGCAUCUUCAAUUUUAUGUUCAGAGUCGUGUUUUCUAUUUGGUGUUCAGAGCCAUGUUUUUAGUUCGACACUUAGAGUCAUCAUGUCUUUCUUUCGUUCAACAUCUAGAUCCAUCGCAUCUUCAUUUCAGUGUUCAGAGCCACAAUUUUAGUUUGGCGUUCAUAGCUAUCAUUUGGCCUUAGUUCGGUGUUCAAAGCCGCAUUUUCAGUUUGGCAUUCAUAGUCGCAUUUUCAUUUUGACGUCUAGAGCCAUCGCAUUUUUAGUUUAGCGUUUAGAGCCACACCUUCAGCUCGAUGUUUAUAGCCACAUUUUCCGUUUGGCAUUUAUAGAGUCGUUUUUCAUACCCAUUCAUGCAUUUUGAGUCACCAUCUUUCUUAGUUUUGGCAUUCAGAGCCGUUGUACAUAUUCAUUCAGGCACUUAAAGUCACCAUCUUUCCUUGUUUUUGACGUUCAGAGUCAUUUCUCCUCAAUCGUAUCAUUCAGAGUCAUAACUCCUGGCAUCCGUAUUCACUGGCAUUGCACAUCUUACCUUCAUGGGUUUGCACUUGUCCUCAUUUUCCUCACCUCGUUACCCUGUGCUUAUUGCCUAUUCAUCAUUGUUUUUCCAGAUUUCCCUUUCCACUGCACGUGACAUAGUCCUUUGAGUUCGCAACACAUAUUUAAGUCAUGUUGUUGGACACUUUACAUUUAGCAUUCUCAUGUAGUUCACAUAGGGCAGUCUCCUUUGGAUGCAUUCGUUUUUGUACUCCAAAGUGGUUCGACCUUUACUCAUAUUUGAUAUGAUUUUUUGAGUCACUUUUGGAGACGUCUUAGAGAGAGUCUAAAUCCUUAGUGCGACUUCAGGAGUGCUUUGAGAGAUCCACUUUACUUUUAGGGUUAAAGCCCUUUUUGGUUCUUCUGUUGGCCUGAACGAGCUUGUGUCUUGCUCGUGUCCCUUUGGGGGUCUUCUUGGAGAGAGGGAUGAGGGUAUUCUAUUUAAGGAGAGAUAUUCCUUUAGGCGAGCUGGUUACAGAAGGGGUAAUGAGGGUGGCUUGGGGAAAAAGAAAAGGAAGGGCAAGAUAUUUUUUUAGGCUUAGGGGGGUAAGCCAGAGAAAAAAAAGAAGGAUGAUAUUUUUCUGGGUGGUUAGAGAAGAGUAUAGGGUGGCUUUGGGGAGCAAGUUUUUUUUUUGGGAGUUGCAAGCUGGUUACAGGAAAAAAGAAUGAAGCUUGAGGAAAAAGAUAGCUGACAGAAGAGAGUUGAAGCUAAAGAACAGAGAUUUCUAGACUGGUUCUUGGAAAGGAAAGAGAGCUCAAUGACCAUUAAAUUGAGUUCGAAGAGACACUUCAGGUAUGUUCACUAUGAGCUAUGUAAUUUUAUCAUUUUGGAUGCUAUUCUGUUGGAUGUUUUUGGGUCAUUUAAGCACCUUUGCUGCUGAUUCUUCCUCUGUUUCAUUGAUUUUUCAUUUGGCGUUCAGAGUCGUUGUUCAUUUUAGUUCGAUGUUUAGAGUCAUACCUUCAGUUCGGUGUUCAGAGCCGCAUUUUCAUUUCGACAUCUAGAGCCAUCACAUUUUUCGCUUGGCGUUUAAAGCCAUUUUUUCCAUUUGGUGUUUAGAGCCAUGUCUUCAGUUCAACAUUUAGAGUCGCAUCUUCAGUUUGGCGUUCAGAGUCGUUGUUUGUCUUUAGCUUAAUAUCCAGAUCCAUCGCAUCUUCUUUCAGUUUGGCGUUCAGAGCCAUAUCUUCAGUUUGGCGUUUAGAGCCACAUCUUCAGUUUGGCGUGCAGAGCCACAUCUUUGGUUUAGAGUUUAGAGUCGCAUCUUCAAUUUGAUGUUCAGAGUCGUGUCUUCUAUUUGGUGUUCAGAGCCAUGUUUUCAGUUUGACACUCAGAGUAAUCAUGUCUUUCUUUCGUUCAACAUCUAGAUCCAUCGCAUCUUCAUCUCAGCAUUCAGAGCCACAUUUUUAGUUUGGCGUUCAUAGUUGUCAUUUGUCCUUAGUUCGGUGUUCAAAGCCGCAUUUUCAGUUUGGCAUUCAUAGUCGCAUUUUCAUUUCGACGUCUAGAGCCAUCGCAUUUUCAGUUUGGUGUUUAGAGCUAUUGUUCAUUUUAGUUCGACAUUCAGAGCCACAUUUUCCGUUUGGCAUUUGAGAACUGUUUUUCAUACCCAUUCAUGCAUUUUGAGUCACCAUCUUUCUCAGUUUUGGCAUUCAUAGUCGUUGUACAUAGUCAUUCAGGCACUUAAAGUCACCAUCUUUCCUUGUUUUUAACGUUCAGAGUCAUUUCUCCUCAGUCGUAUCAUUCAGAGUCAUAGCUCCUGGCAUUCGUAUUCACUGACAUUGCACAUCUUACCUUCAUGGGUUUGCACUUGUCCUCAUUUUCCUCACCUCGUUACCUUGUGCUUAUUGCCUAUUCAUCAUUGCUCUUCCAGAUUUCCCUUUCCACUACACGUGACAUAGUCCUUUGAGUUCGCGACACAUAUUUAAGUCAUGUUGUUGGGCACUUUACACUUAGCAUUCUCAUGUAGUUCACAUAGGGCAGUCUCUUUUGGACGCAUUCGUUCUUGUACUCCAAAGUGGUUCAAUCGUUACUCAUAUUUGAUAUGGUUUUUCGAGUCACUUUUGGAGACGCCUUAGAGGGAGUCUAAAUCCUUAGUGCGACUUCAGGAGCGCUUUGAGAGAUCCACUUUACUUUUAGGGUUAAAGCCCUUUUUGGUUCUUCUGUUGGCUUGAGCGAGCUUGUGUCUUGCUCGUGUCCCUUUGGGGGUCUUCUUGGUUCUUCGGUAGAGCUCACAUCAUUCCACUCAUUAUUCACACUUUCUUUUCACUCUAGUGUUCAUAUUCCUUACAUUCGUGAGCUUUACCGAAGAGGGGCAUAUUUGUAGACCCCCAUUUUGGGGCUCUUUUCUGUAGGUUAUUUUUGCCAGGUGGAUAGAUCUUUUAGAGCUACAUGCUACCCCAAGAGAGGUUAUGGAAGAAUCAUGCUAAUGGUUUGAAGAUGCAAUGGAGAAAUGACACUUGUUAUGGAAUAUUCUGAGUAGAGUGAGGUUGUUAGAGAGGAGGUGAUUUUGUUACUGAUUAGAGAGAGAGAGGAGGAUAUUCUGUUGAAGGAGAGAUAUUCCUUUAAGAUAGCUGGUUACAGAGGGGGUAAGAUAUUUUUUUAGGGUUGGGGGGGCAAGCCAGAAAAAAAAAUGAUAUUUUUUUGAGUGGUUAGAGAGGAGUGUAGGGUGGCUUUGGGGAGCAACUUUUUUUUCUGGGAGUUGCAGGCUGGUUACAGGAAAAGAGAAGGAAGCUUGAGGAAAAAGAUAGCUGAGAGGAGAAAGUUGAAGUUGAAGAGCAGAGAUUUCUAGAUUGGUUCUCGGAAAUGAAAGGGAGCUUAAGGACCAUUAAAUCGAGUUCGAAGAGACACUCCAGGUAUGUUCAUUGUGAGCUAUGUAAUUUUAUCAUUUUGGAUGCUAUUUUGCUGGAUGUUUUUGGGUCGUUUAAGCACCUUUGUCUCUGAUUCUCCCUCUGUUUCAUUGAUUUAGCUUGAAAAACUAAUGAAAACCCUUAUUCUAUUCACUUUGGAGCAUCUAGAAAUAGGGGUUGCAUUUUUGCUUUGAAUUUGUUUAUGUUUUUUUCCACCAGCAUGAGCCCAUUGAUUGAUCCUGAGAUGUGGUUUCAUUAGGUUUCUAUUUCUCAUGUUUUGUUACCUUCCUCCUUCUUAUGUUUUUUUCUUCCACCAUUUGUUCUUACUCAUUUUUCCUAGUUUUAUGGUAAAUGUUUCACAAAUGUUGUAUAUGGGUUGAGAUUUUUUUUAGGCGGACAAAAAUGGAUAAGUUCUGUGCCAGAGAAAAGUAAAAGGGGAUGCCAAUGCUAAGAGCAGGUGAGUAUGGAGGAAGAGAGGCUCACGAUUAGAGACUUUGUGAUUUCUGUCGAGGCUCACAUCAAGGAGGGAGAUACUUUUUAUUUGGUCACUCAAAAAUGGUGGCUACAAUGGUUGGAGUAUGUGAACCAAGACCUGACAAAUAACAUAGACGUAUCAAUUUUGUCAGAGUAUUGUGAUUCAGUUAGCUCUAGUGAUGUGAAGAGGCCUUCUGUUAUUGAUAAUUCUGACUUGGUGUAUGGCAUGACAUCUAAGGUCCACGAUGGGAAUUGAGUGUCACGAUUGUCAAGGGGAAUAUUAGUAGUGCUGGCUUUGUCAACUUCCUUCUCAUCACUAAGUCCAUUGAUGCAAUAAUGCACCUUGCAGCCCAGACUCAUGUCAACAACUCCUCUGAUGAAGUCUAUGGAGAAACAAAUGAAAACGACCCCCUGUAUCAGUAACAACAUUGUCAUUAUAGAACCUGUAAAGAGUAACCGUACACCCAUUGUAGAGACUUUGCACAACGCCAAGAUAUGCCAUUUUGGAACGACCCAAUCAUGCGGCGAAAUCGACGAGAAUCAGUUGCAGCCCCAGGUUUCUAAAUAUGAAAGCGAAAUCGUGGAAGAAAAGUCAUUUUUGUCAACGAAAUCUCCGGAGUUGAAGCGAACGAAUGGCAGAGCGAUGCAAUUCGAGGGUGUCAGAGGAUAUAUGUUGCCGGAAUUCCAAUCCAUCGAAGUGGUGACACAUCAAUCAGAUGUGUACGCCUUCGAAGUUGUGAUCAUAGGAAUUUGGGCUGCUCUGCUAUUCAGCCUAGCCAACCUUGUUUUGUACCAGAUAAUGUAGUUUCCCAUGCAUUCAACAGUUACUAUCAGCAAAAUGGAGCUUCUAACAUCCAGCCUUGAUGUGGGACUAACAACAAAUCAAGCUACAGGGGAUUCAUCAUCAUGCCAUUUGCCUUGACUAUUGCUUUUUGGUUACCAUUUGAGAACCAUUUAUAAGAUAAUAUUGCAGCCAUGGUUCGUCAGUGUGUUCGAAACAUGAUUUUCUCAAUGCAUAAGUUCCCCAUGCCCUUGUCUCCACUGUCAAAACCACUCCAUCUCAUCACCUUUCCACCCUUCAUACUCCACCAUACCUAGUGUCAAGACCCAUCAUACCCCUUAAACCCAUUUAUCUCACUAUAUUCCACUACCCAUCCCACUAAUCAUAUCCCAUAUCUUCCAUGCCCAUUAACGUGCCCACCAUCCAACUCAUUUCCAUCAUUCCCCACGUGUAUGAAGACCAAAACGCAUGGCCACCUUCAUAUUUUUUUUCUAUCCUACAUACCUAUAGACCUUAUUCAUCGAACCUACCAUCAUCUGACCUACCUCCCAUUCAUUCCCAUUACUUCCCGCUUGCAUGAACCUUUCUACGCGGGGCCACUCUCAUUUCCCCACCUCCACAUACCAUCUUACCCAUCACUAUGCCUUCCCAACUUUCACACUUCACCAUACCCAACUCAUCACCACCCUCAUCUCUCUCUACAUCCUCAUACUCACUACCACCGAACCCAUUUUCUCUCACUAACUCGUUCACCACCCAUUUCCUACCUAUUUAUCUCUCAACACCCACAAAACCCAUUCUCUUACUACAUUUCCAAUACCCAUUCCACCAACCCUUCCCUAUACCCAUUUUUCUCAUGGCACCACCCAUUCCAACCUACUGUUAUCUUCAUUGCUGAGGUUGAUACCUUUUGGGUCAGUGUGAGACAACAAACCAUGAAACAAUGGCAAACAUGAAAACUGAGUUUAGGAAUUUAUUGGAAGGUUUUACCAUUGAUCAUAAUGCAAGGGUGAUGGUCCUUGCUGCUGCUAAUCAUCCAUUAGAAUUCGAUGAAACAAUUUGGAUGAUGACAUGGACGACUGAAGAGAAUAAGCAUGGGAUUCCGCUUAAGACACAGGAGCUCUAAGCGUUUGUGCUUCUGACUCGAUAUUUGGAUUUGUUCGCAGCUUCCUCUCUGUCUAUAACACUGUAGUUAAGUUGAUAUCCAUUAGGAACUCUUAAACGAUUGUGUGGUGCACAAGGAUGCAUUGAACUGUGAAAUGGUCACAUGAUGAACAACUCAACACCCCACGUCGAUAUUCUAGAAAUGUCUCGUGAUUGAUGAAACCCUAGGGUCCCAACCCCGUCUCCUUCCAACUUUAACUGGGUUUAUCCUCUCUUCUAUUCUCCUUUUCCAAUGUCUUUCAUAAACCUUUUAUUCUUAUAUCUCUCCAACAACUGUGGCAUGCUCCACUAUAUAUCUGGUGACCAGUUCAAAAUACAAGUGGUUAUCAGAAGACCCAAUGGAGUUGGUCAGCAACUUGGGAUUGAGCGCUCACAACGCCUUGAAUCAUAUUUUCAAUCAAUACCUAGAAUCCAAAUUGUGGCGUGCUUAACCCCUUACAGUGCCAAGGGCUUGAUAAAAGCUGCAAUCCGGAGUGAGAACCCAAUGAUUUUUUUUUUUAGCAUGUUUUGCUUUACGAUCUCAAGAAGAGGAUUCCAGAUGAAAAGUAUGUGUUAUCAUUUAAGGAAGCCCAGAAGAGACUCGCAGCCCAAAUAGCUUCCAAUGUCUACUAUCAUGUGGUCAAUUCUCUUGGAAAUGGAACCUGGGAUCCAAAAAACUCUAGGAGGGGUUGAGAAAGAUUGAAGACAAUAAUACUUUGGUUUUCCAUGUUAACAUUUGCCCUGACAAGAAGAAGAUAAAGGACAGGCCUUAGAUCACAGAAAUGGAUCACCUCAUGCUGGAGUAUCAGGCUUUGGGGUAUUUGUUGAAGGAUGAAGUCUGCAUAAAACUGGAAUUGCGUGUUGUGAUGGCACUUCGUGAGCAUAAAGGAAACGAGAUUUCUUAAAGCUGGCCAUAGCUUUGAUUCAUCUUGGGGAAUGGAUUGUUCUACCGUUCUUAAGUUAGUGUUGUCCAGUGAUGAUCUCCAGUUUGUUUCUGAGGAUGCUGCUUAUGGUUUUGUACUAAAGUGGACCCAAAUCCAUUACCCAAAACUAGAGGACAGACGAGAAAUCCUAGUUUCCCGCCUUGAUCGCCUUAUUCGUUUCCCAUACAUGACCUGUCGAAAGCUGAAGAAGGUUUUGAUUUGAAAUGACUUUGAUACUGAACUUGCAUUGAAAGUCAUGUUAGAGAUUCUUUCUUUUUAAGGCUGAAGCACCAUACAGGUAACGUUUCCUUGCCGCAGAGGAGGUUAAUUCAUCCCAUCGUUGUUUUGUGGAGAAGGCUUACAAGUACCUUCCAAUCAAGGUGGUGGAGUUUGAACGGCCCCGUCAUCAGUUUGUUGGGUAUUUGGUCUCCACUGGUCAACCUGUUAGGGAUUACAUUAACUCAGUUGUGAGACAUGUUCUCCUCAGAUAGGGUGCCCUUAGUAUCAUGAUCAAGAUCAUUAUUCGACCGGGAUCCCAAGGGUGAGCAGGGCCCCAUAACGCCAUUGUCUGAUCCGAUGACUAUUCAAGCAUCCAAUCUCACUGCAUGGCCAACUAUGCAUGGCCCUUUUUGGGGCCAUGUGUCUUCUCUUCUCAUUGUUUCAUCUUUGAUUUUAAAAGGAAAAAAAAUAAGUAAUAAUUCUCAAACUCCAUUUUGCAUAUAAUCUUCCAAAUUUUGAUUUUCCAAAUAAUUUCAACUCUUCAAUUUAUCAUAUUUAGCAUUUUUUUAGGUUCCAAGAAUCCAUUUUAAUAAAAUUUUGCUGUCAUUUCUCUUUCUGGCAAGCAAUUUUCACAUUUCCUCUGAUUUUUAAAAUGUUUUAAAAUAAACAAGAAUUAAAUUUCGUAAUUCCAACUGAUGGAAUUUAUGGAAUUGAUUCAUGCAAAAAUAAAUGGAGCUUUGGUGGGAGCCCAACAUAUGUGAUUUUAAGAUUGAUUGAUUGAUUGAUUUGAUUGUUAUACAUGAUUGAUUUAUUCCGCUCUAUGACAUGCAUGUGAUUAUUCUUUGUUUGUUCACUGACUUUUGUUUUCCAUGAAGUAAAUCAGCUUAUCACUCAGGCACACUCUUCGCCUCUCUUAUUCAUUCAGGUAUUUUGUUUUGAUUUUUCAUUUGGUAUCCAUUGAUUUACUUAUCAAUCGCUAUGCUUGAUUCAUCUCAUUAGUAGAGACCCGUUUUUAGGGACUUAGAGGGGUGCUACGGUCUUAUUCGUACAUUCCUGAUAAGUAACCUGACUCUCGAGCCCAUAUUUGGUUUUUCACAGACCACUUUUUUUCCAAAUAAGGAGUUACACUUAUGGUUUUUCUUUCUUAUUUUAUUUACCCUUUAAAAAUAAAACAAAAAUAAGUGGCAACUCCAAGUCAUUUUCUUAAUAAAUAAAUCAUUUUUCAAAUAAAAAGCGAGCUCGUCAUCGAGUGGAAGCGCAUGAGCAGAAAUACGGGGUCCACAAUUAUAUUUUUACUAUUUUUAAUAUAAAAAAUUAUACUAAACCACUUUUAACCCAACCUCAUUUCAAGUCAAAUUUCAUAUGUUAACACAAUAUCUGAUUUUACACUAUUUUUAAAAAACGUUUUUAACCUAAAAAAAGGUUAAAUAUUUUGUAAAAUUUAAGAGAAAUACUUUUAGGCUAUGUUUGAUUCCCGGAGGGAAAUUUAAGGGAAAAUGUAAGGGAAAGAAAAUACAAAGGAAAAAUAUAAGGAAAGAAAAAGUGAAGAAAAAUAAAAAAUAGAUUAAAAGUAGAUAAAUUAUUUUUAUUUUUACUUCAAACUCAUUUUAUUUAUUUUAACUCAUCCAUAUAAAGAUUAAAUAAUUUAAACAUACAUAAAAUUUUAAUUAAAUUUGAUUUUCUUUUAUAUUUUUCACAGGACAACCAAACAUGAAAAAAAAUCAUUUUCCUUUAUAUUUUUUUUUUCUUUCCUUAGUAUUUUUUUUGGAACCCAACACAACCUUAAAAUUUGGAAAAAUUACUUAUAUUAUUUUCUAAUGAAACACUUGGUUGGUGAUUCUCUUGAAAAUAUUUAAAAAAAAAAACACUUCUACUACAAAUGCUUGAAGUAAAAAUAUUUUCAAAUACUUAAAAACAAUGUCAAACACUAAUUUAAAGUUAUGUUUGAUUAAUCAUAUAUAAAUAUGUGAUAAAAUAAGAGAUAAAAUUAUAUUAAAUCAAAUAUGAGAUAUGAUAAAUAGUAAGAUAUAUUAUCCAAACUCUUAUUUGUAUCUCAUAGACAUGGAUCGUCAUAAUCCUAAAUUGAAAUAUGAGAUAUCCAAAUUCAUGAGUUAUAAAUUCAUUUUUUUCAUCUAUUUAAAAAAAAAAUUAUAUUAAUCAUUUUUUAAAAUAACUUUUUUAUUAAGAAAUUAAGAUUGAAGUCUAAAAAAGAAAAGAAUUAAAAAAAUAUAUAAAAUAUAACAUAAAAUAAUAUAUAUAUAUAUAUAUAUAUAUAUAUAUAUAUAUAUAUAUAUAUUUAACAACAUAAUAUAAUUGUGGACCCGCGUUUUUCAUAUGCAUCUUCACUAGACGGCGAAACUUGCUUUUCAUUUAUCUUGUGAAAUUUUGAUUUUUUUUUUAAAGGCUUGGAGUCGUCACUUAUUUUAGUUUUUUUUAAAGGAAAACAAAAUAAAAAUGAAAAUCUUUGUGACUCUUUAUUUAGAAAAAAUAUGUCUACAAAAAUUGAAUAUGAAUCUGGGGUCAGGUUAUCUAUUAGGAAGGUAUGGUGGUGAGAGAAUGAGGGAGUAAGUGGAGUGGUUGGGGAAGGUAGGAAGAGAUAUGAGAGGGGAGAGAGAAAAGAAAGAAAAAAGAAAAAAACUAAAAUAAAAAUAUAAUAAUAAUAAUAACAACAACAACAGUUAUAGUAAUAAUAAUAAUAAAAUAACAAAAUAAUAAAAAUAAAUAAUUAAAUGGUGAGUGUGUUAAAAAUAUAAGAUGUAAUCGAGAAUUAAAAACUAAGGAUAAAAUUGGGCUCAAAAUCAACGUAAAAAUAAAAUUGAGACAAAUUUUGGGGGUACAAAUAUGCCCCUCUUUGGUAGAGUCCACGAGUAAAGUGAUUGUAUACACAAGCGAAACGAAGUGAGCUCUGCCAAAGAACAAGAAAAACCAUCAAAUUUGUUAUAGUAUGACACGGGCUGUCUUAAACCAAAACAAGAACAAUAAACUCUAAAAUCCUACAAAAAUGGCAAUAACGAAAACUCUUAAGGUGCCUUUAAAGUUACACUAUGAAUCCAGACUCCCUUAGAAAAGUCUCCAAAAGUGACUCAAAAAUCGAUGUCAGAGUCGAGUAGCAGCCGAAGCACCAAGGAGCAUAUGAACAAACACAUACAGAAGGAAAACUACACAUGCUCUAUACAAGGGCACAAGGCGAGGAGUACCAAUGAUACGAUCAAAACACAUGCUAUUAGCUCAAUAGACUAUAUCACACACAAUGGAGGAUGAUAGACUCUAGAAACUAUGGCUUUGAAUGCUUGAACUGAUAAAGGUAGCUCUGAAUGCCUAAACAGAGCAAGGUGACUAUGGACGCCUAAAUUGAGCAAGGUGGCUCUGAACGCCUAAACCGAAUAAGGUAGCUCUGAACGCCUAAUUGAGAAAGGUGGAACUGAGCAAAGUGACUCUGAACGCCUAAACUAAUAAAUGUGGCUCUGAAUGCCUAAACUGAGCAAGGUGGCUUUGAACGCCUAAAUUGAUAAAGGUAGCUUUGAACGCUUAAACUGGACAAGGUGACUUUGAACGCCUAAAUUGAGUAAGGUGGCUCUGAACACCUAAUCUGAGUAAGGUGGCUCUGAAUGUGAUCGCUUGAUUUUUCUGAUUUAUUACAUCAAAACACAAUUUAUAACCUAAUUCACUACUCUAGAGUAGCUUGUACCCGAUAAAAAAUGGUUUUAGUACAAACUACCAUAAUAUAGUAGUUUUUAAGUGUCGUCUACUAGGAUGGAUUAUUCUUGGUAAUUAAGGCUUGAAUGAGAGGAUAAGAAAUGAUUGUGAUCAAGUGAAAUUGAUUUGAAAAUUCAUGGUGAAAAAUCAAUUUAACAAUGGUCUCAAAUUGAGAAGAAAAAUGAAAUGUAAAAUAUAAGAAAAUUAAUAAGAGAUGAAAUUCUUGAAAUUAGGAUUUUCUAGAAAACAAUUUCCAUAGUGAAUAGAUGUUGAGAUCUAAUUUUCAUCAAGUUAGAUUGAAAACCUAAAUUCUCAUCUAAACCGAUUUUGGAUGUAGUUUUAAGUCUAGAUCUAAUUUAUCUUCAAAUUAGGUUAUUUAAUCCAAAAGAUCAAUUCAAAUCAUAUCUUCAAUUCAUCUUAAAUUAUCUUCCAAUGAUUCACACAAUGCAACUAUUCAAUCUCAUCAAAUCUAACUUUAAGAAUUUAAUGAAUCUACUUAGUUUACAUUGUAGUAAUCAUCUAAGAUAAUUUGAAGAGAAAAAUCCCCAAAAUUCAAUUAAUCAAUCAAUUGGAUCAAAUUACCUUUGUAAUUCAAGCUCAUUUAUCUAAUUCACCAUAGAUCUUGCCUUUAGAUCCUUCUUCAUUCGAGAAAAAAAAGAUUUAGUCACUCAUUUAAACACUCACUCAUUUGGCUGGGUUGGUACGUCUGGCGUGACGAAACUAAACGUCUUGAAGUCUAUAUCCACCACUUCCUUCUUGUAGAUAGCAAGCCAUAAAACAACCUUCGCCUGAAACAAUCAAACAAAGUAGAUUCAAACUUCCCUUCUUAUGUACAAUGCAACAAAGUAUACACAACUACAAGCUACUUUACCAAAUUAUGUUGUAUUCCACUCAUACAACUCAUUUUCCUUCAUGGCCGAGAAUCUAGGAGCUGGAUUAUCUUGUUCUACAGGUCAUAUACAUAUAACAUCCAAUGGUUAUUUAUAAGAAUCGGUAAGUAGACCUGCAUUAUUCGACUUACAAUGAAUUACAAAAAAUAUUGGGUUAAUGAGAUUACAAUAUUACAAACAUAAAACAAUGCAGUCUACCUCACCUCAUUAACAUUCCGGUAUGAAACAUCUAGGGGAUACAAAUAUAGCUCAAAACGGAUUAUUAUUGCUUAUCACGUCAAAUGUUUGGUGUUGGAGCGCAUGACCAUUUCCUGCAUAUCAUAUGAAAACAAUUAAAGCUUUCAAAUUUAGCAAAACUUGUGUACAUGUUAUAACAACUAAUCAUUGAAAUUCUGUCUCCAUAAAAAUUCUUCAUUACAGCUAUGUAUGGCGAAAGAAACAGUUUUGUCUUUGAUACAUCUUCAAAUUGCAGCAUCCUACAAUAUGCAUCCACGACCUAAAAAAAUGAUUAAUAUGUAAGCAAUAUUAACAAUCACUAAUGACAAGUUGUUACGUGAAUAUGAAACUUAAAAUAAUACAAGAUCAUGGAAAAAUUGUGACAUUAACAUCAUUCCCAAUCCAUUUGUCUCAUUCGAAAGAGGUAAGGUUGCCUCUGCUUAAACUCAUGUCAUGCAUUGCCAAGUUCCUCACUUUCACCAAAAUCAUAUAUGUUAGGGUAAUACAAAUUUUUUCAGGUUCAUACAAUUGAAAUUGGAGUAAUAUAUGGUUCAACAUACCUUAGGUCCAAAUCUCCAUCAAAUACAAUUGCAACUACUUGUUUCAUGUCCAUCUUUAUGGCAGACUGUCGGGUUUGUGGUUGUGCUAUGAAUGGUGACAACAGAUUGAGAACCAUUCGAUGCAUUCUCCAUCGCCUCCCACCCCUCUUGGAUGGGGCCAGAAUCAUAGAACGCAAAGAAAAGUGGUUAUAGACGACUAUUUCUUCUUCAUCUGUUAAUUUGGACUAACAACUAAUUAGUUCAAUGAAGGACACUAUAAUAUUAGUAUUUUUUUUUAAGAACUGCUGCAAUAAUGAAUGUCCCCCAGAAUGUUACCAUUAAGUGUUAACUUUGACCCUCCGGCCUCCAUAUGAAAAUCUGGGGCUGGUUGUCGAAUUGGAGUGUCUGGUACCUUUUUUGUGUCAUGCCAUACCAUGUCAUGUCAUAUUGGGUAGAGUUUGCAUGCUUCUUGGGCACGGGAAAGACAUUGGAUACAUACCUAGAGUGACCAACAACACUCGAAUGUACACUUCUUGCCAUUUGGCACCCAAUCUAUGCAUCAGCUCAUGCAUGACGUCAAACUGUUGUUGUAUGCCCUUUUGAUAUGUCGUUAUUGCACCUUCUACUUCAUGGUACUGCUCCAAGAUUUCCUGUCACAUGUUAACCAAAUUCCACCAAAUUAUUUAGUGUAAAACUCUUCAAAAAAAAUCUUUAAAACCCCUAAUUUAUAAUAUUUCGACAAGUAAACCCAAUUAUAAUUCCAUUGAGACGGAUUAAACUCGUAAAAUAACAAAAAAUCAUGUGUACAUCACUACUUGUGGGCCUACUCUCGGCCUCCACAUGUGUAGGUGGCGGUGACGAUUCAUGGAACCCCUACAAUUGAGAACAUGACACUUGUUAAGAACAUAUAAACCUUUAAGGUGUUCAACUUGCAUGUCAUCAAAUUACAUUUUUGCAUGCAUAUAGACUAUAUGACUACCUUGCCAUGUCCAAACUGCUAAACUCCCUUAUCUCAGCAGUUAGUCGCUGCUUUAUCAACUCUUCUGACCAUGCCAAGAGUUGGGGCACUAUCAUGGGAACAUGAACGAAAAGAAUCUUGAAUUUCAUGACAUAAUGGAGUUGCACCAUGGAAAUAAACAUAUGUGCAAUCAUGACUUGGUGUUACUGAUGUUAACAAUUAAAAAGUUACCAAGUAACAUAUGUAAAAGAAGUGCAAUACCUAUAGAAAAAUGAUGUAACCAUGUACCCAUACACUAUUACUUUGCUUAUAUUGUCUUAUACUCUCUACAAGUUGGUUAAUAACAAAUCGGCCCUAGUUAACAUCGUUUCUGAAACCAUCUUCAUGGAUGGUAUGCCACAAGUUUCGACAUCCAUCAAUAUUUUAGGUGGGCGCCAAUAUCGUCACACAAGCGUAGUAAAUGAAGCAUCUUCGAAACUCCUCCCCAACAAGUAAGUUGAUGAGUCUCUCCUCACAUGUUGGGGGUGUACCAAACGGAUGAUUAAAUGGGGUUGAUGGAAUUUAUAAAAUCUAUCUAGUUGUCAGGAAGCCAAAGACAAGCCCCACAUCAGUAGUUGUAAGAUCAUAUAUUUUAUCGGCUAAGAUCUCUAUUCGUUUGAAUCCAACGUUAAAAUGGUGGAUCAACCAUAGACAUAUAUUGUGUCAUAUCUCCUUACAGUUUAAGUUUAGAAGACCUCCAAACUGGAGGUUUCGAACCACUUCCAAUUUCUCAUCCGGUAACUUGUUGUAUAGUUUUAGGAAUCUUGAAGAUGAACAUCGUGUCAACAAUCUGGUGGCCUGCAUUAAAAUUGUUGGAGAUCAUUAGUCUCAAAUUCCAUUAACAUAACUGCAGUUGCUAAUUGAGUAUUAUGGAUAAAUAGUAUAAGUUUAAAUUGUAGUGGACAAAAGAGCUACAAAAAGAGUUGUGCAUUGAAGUUAUUGCACAUUCAUAAUCUAUGCAUUUUUAUCUAAUUAAUAGCCACUGCCAUGGGAUUUCAUCUAUUUUCAUGAUGUGGUUGGUCAAAGUUGGAGCUAGAGCUUCAAUUUCAAGAGGUAAGGUUCUUGACUUGUUUUUUCUAUUUGUUGAAAAAGUGAGGGAGAGUUAGACCCAACAACAGCCAACAACUUGCAUAAGCCUUGAAUUAUAGGUACUUUGUUAUCCAAGAGUGCUAAAGUAAAUUAGAGAUUAUGGGAUCAUUUGUGUAUCUCUUCAUUUUUUAGCACUCAUUGAUUUUACUCUUAUGUUAAAAUCUGAUGGUGACAAACUCUACCUCUUUUAUGUAGCCACGAUGUGAUGAUAAUGAGAGCAAUACUGGAGUGGUUCCUAUGAGGGAAACCCAGGAUUGUGUAGAAAUCCUUUGAUAAGGAAAUGUGGAAAUCUUAAACAAGCAUUACCACAAACAUCAACCUCUGAAUAGGGUCAAGACCUGGAGCCUGCCAAAGGGUUUGAUAGGAAAAUGGUGUUGAUGGGAUAUGGAAGUGGGCUACUCUUUGGACUGAUUAUUGGAUACAUCUUUACCACAUGGAAGCACGAAUGGUUUAUCUAGACUUUUGUAAGGAGGUAACAACAAAAACAAAGGGUAAAUUGAAUUAGUGUUAUUAUAUUGUUUCAUUUCCUUUUUAUUUCUUUCAAAUGUGGAAAAAUUAGUGGACUAGUAUUAAUAUAUUUGAAAUGGUUAAAUAGUUAUGGUGAUUUGCAUGUAAGAAGUAAUGUAACUAGCUUGUCUUUUUAAAGUAUUAUUUGUAAAGUGUUGUUGUGACACUAGUAGCUUAGACAUGAAUUUUACUAAUCAGCAAAAAAGUAUAAACAUCAAUAUGAAUACACAUCAAUGCUCAAGAAAGCAAUACAAUUGAAUGAAAAAACAAACAAUACUAGCUAUGGGAAACCAAAGCAGAAGGAAACAAUUAAGGUGCUACUGAAACUUUAGUAGUGCAGUGAAGUUAAAUCAUCAAUAACAACCAACAACAUUGAUACCAUCACAAAUAGUACUUAAAAAACCAACAAUAUAAUUAAAGAAGAGUGCAAUAGAAUUAAAGAAGAGUUUCAUUUUACUAAGCUCUAUAUACCAAGAAUAUAUAAUAAUUUUACAGAUAAAAUUGCCUAUGUUUUUUAAGUCUUUUUUACCAGACAUAUGAUUCAAUUACAGGAUUGUGUCGUGUAGCUAUCAUAUUUAAUUUUGCUUCAAAGAACUUAGAAUAAACAAGAGUAUAUAAAUUUUGCCAUUGAACGUGGAAUUAAAAUUUGAACCAUAUGUUCUAACAAAUUGCAGAAUAGCUGCCUCCUCAUAGUUUGUCUUGAUAAUGAGUCAAUAUAUAUAUUUUUUUCUCUUAACAUGCUUGAAAUAGCUUGCAGAGGUAACCAAUAAAUUGAAGUUAUGCUACAAACUUGAAUUAAACAAUGAUAACUUUUAUAUAAAGUUAGGUAAUCCGCUUGUUUUUCUCACCAUCCACAAAAGCUAAUGGGAAGAGAGAAUUAAAAAAAAUAUUAAUGUGGAUCAAUAAUUUAUUAGUGAAUGCUUAUGUAAUAAACAAUCCUUAACAGUCAAUGCAAGUAAGUGUCUUAAGUAGGUUAAAAUCUCAAGUUCUCGAAAAAAAUUGAUGAAAAAAAAAAACAUGAAAGAAUGCAUUACCUCCGUAGAGGCCAUUGAAGAAUGAAAUUAUCCCUGUAGGUUUCAACCUUGCAACAACUAUUUACUUGAAAUAUGUUCUAUAGUAGUUAUCUCCCACCUAGAAGAACUCAUAAUAAAGGGAAUGUUCAUUUAAACAGUUAUACCAUUCAUCGGUCUAAUAAAUUUGGUAAUGGCACACCAUAUUCAGAUUUCUAAGGAAAAAAUAAAUGAAUAAAAAAAAUAUGGCAAUUUGGGAUAAAACUUCCACUUUGGAAGCAAACACUUGUAUGAACUACUAUCCACCUAACAACUUACCAUAAUCCACAUAAUGAAUAAAUUGCUAUAGAAUAACCAUAGUGGCAAGCUACGUAACAAGUUAUCUCAUUGAAGAGACCUUGAAAGACAAUUUUUAUUACAUGUUAGACUUCAUGACAGCUUCGAAUGGAUGCAACCAGAACGUGAUGCGAUAAAAAGUGAAGACCAAAAUGUGGAAAUAAUAAAGGACAACCAUUUUCCUCUUCUCCCUUCCAAAAAAAAAAAAAAAAAAAAACGUCAAUCGCAAUAAGUUCAUAAUUUAAUAACAAAUUGUCAUCCUCAUUUAGGCUUCGAACAAGAAAUGCGAAAUAAUGUAGACACCCUUAUGAAAUUAAACAACAAGUGAAAAGAGACCACAUUCAAAUUGUACUUUCAAUCAAAUUAGUUAAUCAAAGCAACUUUAAAUCAUGAAAAUAAAAAGAUAGUUCAUCAUGCCUAUAACGAGGCCAAUACAUACAUACCAAAAUCAACAACCCCCCCCACCAUAUACCAUAGAAUGGAAUAAUGAGGGAUGGUACAAAAUAUGAAAACCUUACAAACACAAAAAGGGAUAUGUCAUAGCAAUUGAUUAUUACAUUUAGAGCGAUUGUGACCUAUACUAUUGCAUCGAGAGCAAUGAAUUGUUUUCUUAUGGCAAAACUAUCACUCAAUAUAUUUUUGUCAAGGUCUUCCUGGAGGACGUCUCACAUGAGGGGGUUGGAGAGCAGGAAAUAAGUUGCCCACUCCAUCUUGUAAACUCCCAUUCUCACAAACUUUGGGCAUAUUGUGCAUUGGUAAUGGUUGAAACUGACCCAAGUAAAUCAAAUGUUGAGUGGAGGCAUGAAAACAUGGGUCGAUAUACUCAUACACAUCGUGUCUCAGUGUGCGGAUGACAGCACAUACAUGUGAACAUGGCAAUCUGGACAUUUGCCAUGUCAUACAAGUACAUGUACAUUGAUGCAUAUCGACAACCAAAUAAACUUCCCCAGUAAAUACCUUAAACGUCCCCCCCAAAUAGGGUAACACACUAAUCGAACUAGACCUCAUGAUAUUUGACAUUAGGUUAUCUUCUGUUUUUUGUCCAACCACGCUCUUCCACUUUUUGUACCACGCAUAUGGGUGUCCAACAUGGCUACAAGCUUUAUCCAUGUGCAUUAACAAUAACGUAUAAAUUGUUUGGUGGCGCUCAUUUCUUAACCACGCAUUGAAGGACUCUACAAUAUUAGUUAUCAUUUUAUCCCAACGUUUUUUUAAGGAACUUUGGCAUUGCCCAAUGCUCAGGAUUGUUUUCCACAACCCAUUUUUCUAGGUUGUCAUUGAAGCGCACAAGUUUUUCAAAUGCCUCGUUGUAAUCUAUAUCCAACCUAGCAUACACAAUGCUAUCCAAAAGCAACAAAACAUCUUUUUUUUCCUUUUUUUCCUCUAAUGUUUUGCAUAUUCAAGAGGCUAGAAAAGUUUUCCUUCACAUGUCGAUAACAAUAUGCAUGAUUUUAUGUCCCGAACAACUUGAAAACACUAUGCAAGAUUCCCUAAUGUCUAUUUGAUAUAAUAACUACUUCUUUACCAUCUAGGACUCCCUUUAAUUUCUCCAAGAACCAAUACUAGUCCUCAUAAUUUUCUAAAUUGACCACACCAAGGUCUAGAGGGAACAUUCCAUCGUUUGCAUCAUAUGCAAUGGCGGACAAAGGAGCUCUCUUAUAUGAACCGCUUAGGUGGUAAGAAUCAAUAGCCAAUACCGGUCGACACCCCAUGAUGAACCCUUGAAUUGAAAAUGUAUGGGCAAUGAACAAUUGCAUGAAGUGAUUCAUGGGAAAUGUACUCUGCAAUAGUGUUAGGGUUUAUUCCCCUUAGUCUAUGGCAUAACCGAGGCAAAAACGUGUAGGACUCACGUAGAGCUCCAUAUAUGCGCUCUUUUGCCUUCUCUUUAAGGUGUCAUGCUUGGUUAUAUGUCAAUUGAACUCCAUGAUCACUUUCAAAAUCCUUGCAACUUUGACAACAAGAUAUUCUGGAGUGGUUUUAAACACAUCUUCAACAACAACAACGCCUCUCUUUGAAGAAACCCUUACCUUAGAUGAACACUCGUCUUGAGCUAUAUGAUUAUGAUUCACUUGGUAAGUAUGAACUCACAAGAUUACAUUUCCCUCUACAGCGUAUCUUCUAAGGACAAUCCUCAACCAAACACUUUACGAACAUAUGCGUAGGUGAAUUUUUCUUGUACUUGUAUUCAAACCUCCCACCUAAUGACAUCUGGUAUAUUGCAUUCUAAAACUCCUCAGCAUUUUUAAAUGUAUGUCCUGACCCUAAUAUUGCCUCAUGAAAUUGAUUCGAUUCCAAAUGAGCGUACUCACUAUCUACACCACGCGAUGCAAAACCUCUUGGUAGCAUCAUAGUAUUAGCAAUUGCAUCGCAUGAUGCAUUAGAGGAAGGAAACGUGAGAGGUGAACCUCUGCAUUUACAUACAUUAACAAAAUUAGACUACAUCAUGUGUAAAAUUGAUAUUCACAAUAUUUUAAAUAGACAUUCAUGUUAAAGUCCAUUACCCAAAUGUCAACUGUGUGUUCGGUAUAUUUGCCUCAAUGGCUUCCACAUUGGGUGACUACUAUGUAUACAUUUAUAAAGUCAUCAUUGUGGGAAACCACGUUAUCCAAGUCAUCCUCAUAUUCUAAAUCUUGAAUGACUUUGGAGUUGAACUUGAGGGUGUAGUGCAUCUUCAUCACAUCAAGUGAGAUGUCGAAUUUCUCUAAGAUUUUUUGAAUGAAAUCUUCAAAUGACAUUCCUUUAUAUAUGUGAAUACCUUUGCUUAUUCCACCCACGUAUUCCCAUUGCCCAUCAUUUUUUUGGACAAGUUUGCCUCCCACAAAAAUUUAACAAUAUAUCUUAUUUGUUGCGUCUAUCAACCUAUUAAAACAAAGCACAAAUUUCAUAUUGUUGAACAAACAAUUAUGCAUAUUCAAUGUCAUCCAAAAAGUUUUUUCGUCUCACAAGAGGUAUUGUUCCCAUACGAAUUACUACCACCAACAUUUUAUCACCAAGAUCUAUUGUUCAAACAAAGUGUGAGACCUAUUUUUUCAUUCGUUUAACUUGAAGCCAACAACAAGUAAUUAAGAAGAAGCACGUGAAAUGGAAGGUAGAAAGGGAAAUGACGCAGUGAAGUGGGGAUGCUACUGGUAAUCAUGAUACCUUAAUUUUGAAUAAUGCAUUAAAAAAUUUAUAUUAAAAACAACAAUUUAUAUAUGCAAAAAUUUAACUUUAGCUUAUGUCUUAAGAAAUCAUUAUUUUAGUGAUGAGAAAUUUUAAACUAUUUAAAAUUUUAUAAUAACUUAAUUUUGCCCACAAAAAAUUUAUAUAUCAAUCUUAAAGAGUUUUUGCAUCUUUUAUAAAAAUUCCUACUAUGCUUUGAUUUAUGAUUUUAAACACAAAAAAUAGCUAAUAAAUAUAUCCAAACAAACCCCAAGUAAUCACCAUUUAUUUAUAUCAACCAUAAAUUAUGAAAGUCAGGAAAAAUGCAUGUCUUUACUUUAUUUCUUGUGGAAUUGCACAUAGUUUCAAAAAAUUGGGGAAAUAAACAAUACAGUGAGGUUUGAACUUAUGACUUCCUGACAACUUGGCCCUUGAUACAAAGUUAAGCUAUAACGUUGAUUCAAAAGUUUGUAGAUGUUAGGUAAUGAUGGGACAAUAAUGCACAUCAAGCUGAUUUGAGCCAAUUUCAUAGCUUAAAAUGCUAUUAGAGCCUUAGUUGUUAGGAGGUCAUGAGUUCGAACCUCAACAUGUUUUUCUAAUAUGCUAACCUCCCCAAUUCUGCAUUUCAUGUUGUUUUCACCUCAAAGGAAUCUAAACAAAGCAUUUCCAAUGACCCAUUCCUACAACCAAACAAUGUUGCUAGGUUUUGUACCCCCUCCUUCCACAUCCCAAACAAGCAACUGCUCAAUCUUCUUUACAUUGAUCAUAGUAGUGAUAGAAAAUGUUAAGAGAUAGACAACCUCUUAGAGAAAUAGACUUUUAUCAAAAGCAAGGAAUCUUAUGUUAGUGAGAGCUCUAUUUGAAAUGUUUCUAUCUCUUGCAUCCAUCCCAAUUUCAUUGACUUGUAUUCAUAAAUGAUUUGAUGGAUGGAAGGACAAGAAGUUAAAGUUUUGAAUGAGAGCAUGGACACUAGAUAUAUUAAUGUGAUAAAGAACUGAUACAUUGAAAAACAUGAUUAUUGAAAGAGGGAUAGGCAAAUCAAUUCCAAAUCAUGGUUAUGUUAAGGUUCACAUUAGAUACUUAUUUUUUUCCUUAUGUGGUCUUUAAAUCGUUUGGAUUUUAUUUAAGUUAUAAUUAUGAAAAUGAGCCUUUCAAUCUAGGGAUUUAAAAUUAAACAAAAUUUAUAUUUUAUAAAAUAUAACUUCACUAACUAUAGUAGAAUUGUCUCGUGUACUUGCAAUGUUUUUUGAUUGGCAUCUUUUAUAUAUUAGUGUUUGCCUAUCCAAAAAAAAAAAAACCUAGAGUAGAAUUUUAAAAUAUUGACAAGAGUAGAAGUGGAAGAAUUGUAAGAAUUGAUGCCCAAAUGCAUAUUUGGUUCUCUUUGAAUUGAUCACUGAUAUAUGGAGAAUCAAGUAAACAUUAGCUCCAAGAUUAGAAUAGGAAAGUUGUUGUAGGGAAAUGGUUUGGGGUUGUUAAGUUAACAUUAAAAGGCAAUUUUGCUAGAUAAAGGCCUUAUACUAAUGAUGCUUGCCCAUAUCAAAUAAGCAUGUUGAAAUGGAGAUGUUAAGAUGGAUAAAUGACUAGAAAAUGAAUAUGUUAGUUGAAACCUAGACGCAGGCAUCUAUUCAGGACAAGACGGAAUAAGACCAAAUGACCCUAAAUUUAGACAGGACAUGACCCUCAAUCUAGCUUGAUGGAUAAACAUAAUUUGUGUAGUAGAACAAUUAUAAUUGAUAGAUAAACACUUGCUGGAGUUCAGUGCCUAACUUUUCAUUACAACUUUAUUUUCAUAUUCACAUGUUUCUCUUUAAAAUUUGUUCGAAGUUUGUUUCAGUUUGCACUAUUCUAUUUAAUUUAAUGAAGAAAUGCCAAUUAUGCCAAUUAAAUUUGUUGUGUGUUGUGCAGUUACAAAUUGGUGUUGAUGAGUCAUAUAAGCUAUCUAUUCCUUCACAUGGGACACUUGUUUAUGCUCAUAUUCAGGUAAGUGUGAGCUAAUGUUGAUUAAAUCUGAUCCCAUGACCCUAGUUCCCAAGGCUGAAGGGUAACAUGGUUAUAUUUAUAAAAAAAAAAAAAUAUCAGCACAUUGUAUUUCUUAGUGCCAUCAUAGAAUUCCAUUUAGAUACUCACUGUAUUCAUGUGCAUGAAUAGUUUCAAUUUAUGUCAUGAGGAGAACGAUUCGUAACCACUCAUAAAAGGCAAAUAACAACUAAGUCUGAUUAUCUUGGAAUAGAAAACGGGGCAGACUAGAGAGUAUCACCAAUAAAACAGGGUACAGAUGAAUACUACUAUCCAAAAAUUAAGUAGGGAUGGUGCAUAAUUUUGAAACAUUCCAUCCCCAGAAUUUGGUUCACCCAUCCAAAAAAAUCCAUUAGUGUAAAAAAGAGAAAAGCCAAGCACCUAAAAUUCACAAGUCACCUAUGUAUCUCAGCAUCAAAAACACUAUAAUAAAUAAGAACUAUUUCCGUUUAUAGAUAGGUUUGCAAAAAAUAUUAAUAGCACCCUAAAUUGACUUCGUAAACUGUAGGUUAACAGAAAACAAGAAUCCAUCUCCUCCUACCAACGAUAAUUAAACAAAAUGUAGGAUUAAACAAAUCUAGGGCGAGAUUUAGAGAACCUACUAACCUCAAAUAUCCAACAAUGGUUAGCACGGAGGGCACCAUCGGUGGGGAUCGACGAGGAAACGAUAAAUGGCAAACUGAAAUCAGGAGAGAGAUUAGGGCAAUGUAAUUGGGUUGAAAUCAAAUGGUCUGAAGAGCCAAAAUGAAGUAUAAAACGAAAUUGCAAAACCUAUUAACCUCAACUAUCCAACUAUUCGGCGCGGAGGGCAAUGCUCGUGGGGAUCAACAAGGGCAAUGUAUCAACAGAGAUGAAAAACACCACUGUCUACACCCCGAAAUGAAAUGGUCAGGAGAGACGAAAUCGAGAGAUAAGGAAAUCGCCAUAGAGAUUAGGGCAUUCUUUGGCCUCAAAUGAAAUGGAAGCGAAAGAGAAAAUCGGGAAAGAUGAAAAACGCCACUAUUUGAAAUGAAAUGUAGAGUAAAAUUAGGGCAACAUAAAUGAAAUUCCAAUGUGGGUUUUUUUUUUAAUAGCUAGCAAAGGGCAUUUUUGGAAAAUUAAACAUUUCAUAUCCUUCUUCUCAAUUUUCACACUUUCUUUGAGUGUUAGGCUUUAAUAUGCAACUUAUAUGGACUAAAGCUUAAUUUUUGGGCCCUGUUGGGCCAAAAACACAAUUUUCCCAAAAAGAAAAGGAAGAAAAUAAAGAAAAGAAAGAAAUAAAAAAAUAAAAUAUAAUAAUAAUAAUAGUAACAACCAAUGUUUUCAGAUCCGGACCAGUCAUCGAAUCGGAAAAGUUAUCGAUUCACGGUUCACUAGUUGGAUCUGUGGUCGAACCACGAUCGAACCGGUGAUGUCAUAAAUAUGUAAUUUAUAUAUUAUUAAAAUUAAAAAUAAUUAUAAAAAAAUUAAAAUAUAUAUGAAUAAAUUAAAAAUCAAUAAUAUUAUUUUAUAUCUUUGAUAUUAUCAAAUUAAAUCAUAUUAAUAUUUUAAAUUUUAUUAAAUGAAAUAUGUAUAAUAUUUACAUGUGAAUAUAUUAAAAAUGAAAAUUUCAACUAAUUUUAUAAUUUUUAAAAAUAUUACAUAAUUUUUAUUUAAUAUUAUAAAAAACGUUAAAAUCUAAUAUAUAUAUAUAUAUUGUUUUGUUUGGCAUAUUAGAUAACAAAAUGCAUGCAAUCGAGUGGUGUCCUAGGCUGAUAGUAGAACCUGAGGUCCAAGGUUCAAGCCCUCUUGGCUAGUUAACAAUCCCACAUGAGAGGAAAUGGGAUGCAAAGGAUGCCUAUAAAAACCAUCCUCACUUAAGGCAAAGGCAUCACCUGGGCUCAAGGCUCAACCUAUAAAAUUGUGGGAGUAGGUGUGGGCCUUGUCAUUAGCCCAAAACAUUUAAACCCAAUGGAACCCUUCCAUGUUUGCAAAAUAAAGGGGUUAACUUGAACUGUUCGGUUCGUUUAGAACCGUCUAGUCUAGUUCCAUCGGGUCACCGGUCCGACCGUUGGUUUAGGCGGUUCGAUGCCGGUCUAAUACCUAAACGGUUGAAUCUGUUGGACUGGACCUGGAUCGGCCGGUUCGGUCUGGUCUGGUUUUUAAAACAUUGGUAACAACAGUAAUAGUAAUAAAAAGGAUUUUAAAACUAAUGAUAAAAUGGGACUCAAAAUCAACAUAAAAAUGAAAUUGGGACAAAUUUUGGGGUCUACAAUAAUAUUUUUAUUUAUAAAAAUUUUAUUUUUUUAAUAAAAAAAUUAGAAGGCAACAUAGUUUUUUUAAAAAAAAACAAAUAUCAAAUAUUGAAAUAUAAUAUGUUUUCUACUUUAUUUAUUUUCUUACUUAUACAAACCAACCAUAGAUAAGUAAAAUAUAUCCUUUAGGCAUAAAGAUAUGCAUAUUUUUGUUGAAAAUAUAUCCAUCAUAUCUUAUCAUGAUAACUAAACAUACACUAAAUCUCCAUUCACAAUAAAGAGAGCUCGCUAACUACCAAAGUCAAUUUUGAUGAUGUGAAUUUAGGCUUUUUAACAUUGAGGCCUUUCAUAAUUUAUAAAGUAUCAAAAGAACGUCAUGUACCCUUAAACUAACUCAUGAAAGGCACAUCUUAUACCCUUUUAUUUCAAAACAAUGAUUGAAUUCUACUCAUCACCAUGUAAAAAGCAAAAAUAUUAAUUCGAAUAUUGUAAAAAAAAAAAAAAAACUAGUAUAAGUUUCAUAGAAUAUACAAAAGAUGGAAUCCUUAUAUUAUAAAAUUCUAUCUAGUAAAUAUUCGAACUUAAAAAGGAAAAUACUUCUCCAAUUAUGUGAAAGUGUCAUACACAGUGAAAAGGAUACACCAACCAUAUUUAAUUUAUCACAAACCUAUCACCCACUAAGAUUAUCAACUUCUUAUCAUUCUUGCUUUUUUAGGGAUUCUAUCAAGAACAGUUGGCAACAAAAAGCAUUAGAACUUAUUUAAAUAAGGAUCAAGUGAAAAGUACAUAAAAUCCAAAUCCAAUAUUAUAUGAGUGGCCAUUUACCUUUAUUCACAUUCCCAAAAGCUUAACCCUCCAAUUCAUUCCUUCAAAAACAAUUGUGAUUUAGUAGAGGAUAUGGGCAUUGUGGUUAGUGACUCAACCAAGUAUCCAACUUGGGCCUCACAAAUCUUCCAUACCUAGUGGAUGGGAAAGAAUCCAAGGGCCCUCAACCCCAAUCUUGUCCAUGGAAAAUGAUUACAUGCAUGCUUGACAAGAGUGGGAAAAGGGCCAUAGGCCCAUGGCAUCAAUUCAAGGAGGCAGGUGUUCAUAUCGGUUGGAAGUUUAGAUUGUUUUUCAUUUCAAUAGAUGACAAAAAAAAAAAGAAAAAAAAAUACCAAGGCCCUGACCUAACAAUACGAAAACUUUUGAAGGUUCUACAACCAUGAAAUUUGUUGCUUUAGUGAGAAAAAUUCUAAGAUAGAAUUAAAUUCGGGCCGAAGGUUGAAACGAUUUCGAAUUGAAUGAAACUUUUUGAUAAUCUUACGAUGAACACACAAAUAAGGGGUGUGAAAUUUGUUUGGGUUUUGAUUCCAUGGACCUUGUAUCAUUAGGCGGAAGCAUGUUCCCAUUUGCCUUCAUCCACAAUGCCAAGACCAUUUUCCCACGAGCCACGGCUCUUACCUUCCUUGGAAUUUCCAUUUUGGCGGUGCUUUCCUACAAUCAAACAUAGGAAGUAGUGAAUUUCUUUUUGCCAAUGGAAAUUUCUUAGGAAAUUCAAAUUCCCAUGCCAUGUCCCAUGGAGCGGGGUGGGUGUCUCCUACUUUCCACCCACCUGCGCUUUUCCCAAAAGCUGCUUUUACAACUUUUACCUACAUUCGAUUCUUAAAAAAUAUAAGAGAAAAAGUGAAUAAAAAAAAAAAUGAAAGCUUUCUGAAUACAAAAAAUAAACAAUUUAAAAAUGUAUAAAUUUUAAUUAUAUUUUAAAUAUAAAAAAAAUCAACCUUUUUACCAUAUUUUUUCUGUUUUUAAUAUUUUUUUCAUCAAGCAUUAUGUUAAGAUAUUAAAUUUAAAAUCAAUGAAUUGGACUUAAGUUUAUAAAUACUAAAUAUUAAUUUUUAUAAUUUAAAACGUACUUGACACUUUGACAGUGAUUUUUUAAACAUUUUAAAUAUUUGAUAAUUAUUAUUUUUUAAAUAUUAAAAAUACUUUUUAAAAUAGCUGUCAACCAUAUUUUUAAGUCAAUGUACAAAACACAAACAAAAUAUCAGUAGCAUGUAGAAUGGAAGGGAGGGGACAGAGCUUCUUCUUAUCCAUAACCUGUUGGUUUGCAAGACCCUGACAAAUACAAAUCUCGUAUUUGGAUUAAAUGAUAAAAAAAAAAUUAAAAAAAAAAAUCAAUCCACAAUGUGUUGAUAUUUUGAUUAAAAGUUGUCGUCAACUGCCCAUGAAUCCAUGAUUAAUGGGGAAUGGUGGCCAUACGUCAAUGGUGUGGGCUGGGCCCCACCCACCACACCAACUCACCAGGCCUCUCCUGGCCCUCCUAGGCUAGCACGUGCCUCAAUUUUGGACCAGGUCACGCUUUCCAAAUUCAUCCUACUUUCCCCAUUAAUUUAUAAUUGUAUCCAUUCCCUAGUCUUUGGUUUUCCUUUACAAAAAUGUGAGCAGGUGGUUGGCCAAUGGUUUUUAUCAUUUUCUUGACUUGCACUUAUACUUGAUUUUAAAGUUUUAAAUUUUUCUUUAUUUAAAAAUAAUGAAUUUUCAGACUAAAUUCUGAAAAAAAAAAUCGUUUUCAAUUAAACCAAAAAAAUUAAAAAUUAAAAAAAAAAAUUUCAAAUAAGUUGUAAGGUCUACCGUGUGUAAACUUGAGAUUGAGCAGCUCAUGUAAAGUGAACGAGCCUUCCAUCGAUGACCGUAUUGGUAGUCGCUGUGACGUCAUCUGCCUCAUCACACACAAAUAUGAAAAGCACAUCACCCCACUCCACAAUCCACAUACAUACGCCUCGCGCACGAAAAUAUAUCCAGACAAAAAAAGAAAAAGAAAAACGAAAAGGAAAAAGAAAAGAAAAACAACAACAUUUCUGAAAAGAAGACAAAACCCAUGUCACGGCAUAAUGGAUUAAUGAUAUGGGUGAUAGUGGGAGGCGGCUGUUGGUGUGGGCUAUGUAGGGUGGUGGUGGUGGUGGAGGUGGUGGCCACUGCCAUUGGCCAUGUGAUGGGAUUUAGUUGAAUUGUGAUCGGUUUGGUUACCAACCAUUGGGCCUACCAAAUCCCUCCCCAGUCUCCUCCCAAGAGCCAUUCCCCGAGCCCUUCUUUGAUUUGGAUUCACACAUUUGCAGCCGCCAAGGUGGGCCCUGCCUUUAUUAUUAUUAGCCAGUGUCACCAUGACUUUGUGAAAUUUCAAAGUCUAUCCUCCCCUUCUCACGUUCUUCAAUCUUCGACUUGUCUACCCUCUUUUGAGGAAACAGAAAAAAUUCAUGUAUUGGUAUGGGGUACCUUAAUUUAAAAAAUAAUACGGAAUAUAAAUGAUAAAUCAAGAGUCAAAAAAGGGGCAGUCUCAUCUUGUGAAUCCUAGAAUAUAAAAAGAAUGGAAAAGCUUCCCAAUAAACAACCAUUCCAUGUUUAAAGGAAUCUUGUAAUUAAAGUUAAAAAAAAAAAUUAAAAAAAAACCAUUUCUAAGUUGUAAGUUUCUAACUCGGACAUAGGACUAGGACAUGACCUUUUUAAAAUAUAAAUACAUUUACAAUUUAAAACAAGAAAAACAUUUUGUCAUUUUCAAAAGCAAUGGAAGAAAAUUUUAUAUUUUAUAUUUAAUUAAACAAUUAAUUUCAAAUUUUUUAUUUGAUCUUAAACCUUAAAUUUAUCACCAAAAAAAAAAACAAUAUUUACAUGAAAUUCAAUUUUAUUAUUCAUAUCGUAACAAUUUAAAUUUUAUUGAAUUUUACACACUUUUGACAGAUGUAGACGACCGACGCCAUACACGCACUCAAUUUUGUAUACAAGAAUGUUAAUGUUGAAUAUCUCUGAAUAUCUUCCAUGAGAGGGACCCGGACCCAACUUGGAAGGUGAGACGAUAGGUGAAGGUGGAGCCCAGUUAUUUGGACCAAAGCCAACCGCAUGGAUUGAGAGGGGGCAGGCCCUCAAUUCUCAACAUGUGUCCCGUCCAGUGUCCACCUCCUCACUAGUCACUACACUACCCUCUGCCACAGGGUGCAUGCGAUACAUGGAUUGCAUCAUAGUUUAUUUCUAUAUGUAUUGAAAUAAAAAUCUUCUCAUUUUUCAACGCCUGGCGUGCUUUACAAGAAACGCUCACAUCCCUCCACUCACCAUUAGGCAUUAAGCCCACCUUACCUUAAAAAUCUAGUAGACUCUCAUCAUCCACUUAAGCUACAAUUACAACACCACUAAAUUACAAAUACAAGAAUCAAGAAUAAGUAUUAGACCGAACAAAAUCGCCUUUCUGUCAUUUUACAAUUAUAACCCUCCCACCCUGCACUCGCCUUCAUCACUCUUGUUGGAAUGGAGGAGGGGUAGAGAGGUCUCAAACACUAAGAAAUCGUCGGGGUCAAACUCCCCGAAUUCGUCCUCCUCUAAGUGCUUAUUUGAAAAUAUGUCCGGCAAAGUUAACGGCACGUCGAAAUCAAACCCGAAGGCGUCGACGUCGCAGUACCCGAAUCCGUUGAAAGGCGCUUCCUCGUUGUAACGGAGGACUGAGGUGGGCGAGGAGGCGGUGACGCUGGGUAAACUGCAGGUCUCUGAUUGACUUUGACCAGCAGUAGCAACGGAUUCCGUUUUGACGACGGAGGGAAAGUUGGUAACGGCGUUGGGGCCUUUUAAACUGACGGCGGCCUUGUCGUAUACCCUGGCCGCUUCCUCCGGCGUGUCGUACGUCCCCAACCACAACCUUUUCCGGCGGGUCGGGUCCCGGAUCUCCGCCGCCCACCUUCCCCAGGGCCUCUGACGCACGCCUCUGAAUUUUUUCCGGCGAGUGCUUUCCGACUCCGGCAGUCUCAACACUCUCUUCUUGGUCGGCUCCUUUUGUGGCGACUCCACUGAAGGUUGGAGGCUGAUCUCUGUGACGUGUCGCUUCACUCUCUGCACCAAUUCCACUUCAUCGUCACUGGAUGAGUCUGUAGCGUCGCCGUCGGUAUGAAUAAUCCUCACAACUCUGUGCCGCACUCUCCUCCUCCCCGAAAGACACUCAGAGGCGCUCACAGACUCCAGCUCCUGCAUAUGCUUACUUGUGGUGACCACAUGCUCGGAGAACUUCACCGCCGGUCGUAUCGGCAUCACAAAGUCACUGCCCAUACUCUUCCUGACGCAGCCUAACAUCGAAGCCGUCCAAGAUGACCUCAGAUCGGACGGAGGACUCUCAGUUUUCUUAGCUGCAUCAACCGAAGAUGAAUAAAGAAAAGAGUAGCUAUAAGAGUGAUGGGAAGAGGAAGUCAGCAGGUAUGUGAUGAAGUUAUAAGUCUGGAAGAGCAGUAGAAUUUGGCGGGAGGGUAGCGGCGUCGAGGGCGUGGAGGAGAGAGAUGAAAAGAGAGGAAACGGGAAUGCGAGGGUAUUUAUAGCGUGAGAUGAAGUGAUGAUGGGGGUGAAGAAGGGUGAAGAGCGGAGCGGGAAACGGAAUCACUCCCCCAUCUAGCUGGGGUUUUGACGUGGCUUAGUUUUUUUAUUCCUUCCAUCACGCCGAUUUUUCCAUUUUCCCACUAAAAUGGGGGAGUCAAAAUCAAAGUUACAGGCUUACAGCGGAGGGUAAACAGGGAGGCAGGACACGGACGGGGCCGCCGCCUCAUCAUUUGCCUAAAUGGAAUUAAAAACAUGUGAUACAAAUUGGCCUUAUCUCUAACUUUUGCCUUACAAUGUUUUUUUGGGGCCUCCUACAUAUCCAAUAAUGCCACGGUGCCACCACACCGCUACUCCCACUGCAUCCACUUGUGCGUGUACUCGAGUUUUUACUGUAUCAGAUGUUGUAAUUCAAUGGAUCAGAUGUUAAGAGUGUUUCUUAAUCGAAUGAUUGAUGUCUACUUUUUUUCCUCGUAAUGGUCAAUUAAUGCCAUUUUACCUACUCAAUUUCUGAUUUUUUCUGUUACUAUUUUAAACACUCUCUUUCAUGGAGAGUUUGUAAAUGGGACCUCUUCUGGAUUUUCAAUCCACAACUUGAUUAUACAUUGCUUCCACUCAAAACUAUCAAAGAUAAUUGAAAAACCACUAGAUUAUAUUCUAACAUCGCAAGUCUAUUGAGGGUCUUAUGACUUAAAUCACUUCAUUUUUUAUUUUAUUUUAUUUUUCAAAAAAUAAAUAAAAUUUGAUCUUAUAUCACAUAUGUGUUGAGAUGAUUGUGAUGGGUGCCAUAACCAUAACCAUAACGUUUUCCUAGUAGUUUUCAAAGAUUGGUAAAAGGGGUUAUGGGCAGGGUGAGUGGGUAUUAGGGUUUAUAGCUCAAAAUAGCAUGCAGUGCCAAAAAUGAGACCACCCAUUUCGACUCUUAAGUCUUUAAGUCAAACCGACCUUCCAACCUCUCGACUCGGAUUUCACGACGGUGAUAAAGGCUUUGGUGUAUCACUUUUUCCAAUUUUUGCUUUCUGUUCUAUCCCUGUUUUUGUCUCUAAAGCAUGGUGAACCCGUAGCUAUAUUUUAUUACUUACAUCUGUAGGGGUUAGAAAAAAGUAAAAACCAAUUCUCAUGUGUGGCCAUAACAGCCUUAACAGGGGCAGACAAAUCACACAAUUGUUAUACCCCACAUUGACAAAUGGGGUUGGACUUAAAACUCCACCCUCCCUAAAUCGAUAAGAUUUGAGUCCAUGAUGUAAAUUUGUGGAAAUAAAGCCCCUCCACAUGUUUUCAUUGUCAAAAGUUGUGAUGUUACGCAUUAGAUAUAGAUAGAUGGAAGAGGACUUGAACCCAAGACCUCUAUUUACACCUUGUUGAAUGACCAAAUUUCACUAAAAUUGUUAAAAUUUGAACCCCUAACAUGUACCAGGUCCUAUGAAGUCCUCCCAUGCCUUGUGCAACUACCAGAGGUUUAAAAUUUAGAAUUUCUGUAGUUUAUACAUAUUCUAGGAACCACGGGUCAAGCCAAAGAUCUUCCCAAGGAUUUCACUUUUAAUGGUUGGGGACUACAUCAGAUAGGAAUAAGAAAGAAUAAAGAAAGCAAAUUAAAGGUAUUAUACGUAGAUGAAGAUUAAAUAAACCUCUACAAAUGUUGAAAAAGCAUAUGUGAGGUUGGUUUAGGCUUGGAGAAGAAGCAAAGGAAAGGGAACACACCCCAUGAAUCAGCAUGUGAGCAAUGAUGUAUGGAGAUUGGCCCUUCAUUGCUUGUCAACCAAGCAUGAGUUGGUAUAAAAAAAUAUGUCUAGUUUUAAAACUUUGUAGAAAGAGAAAGUGGGUCAUUUCAAAGACUUCCAGAAGGUUAUUAACUUCUGAAAAUCCUUCAACGUUUUCCCUGAAAUCAUAUCAGAGACCAAAGGAUUUGUAACCAGUCAAAAGACUCGAAACCUACUCUUGUUGGACUAUAGCCAAUUAGCAAUGGCCUUUUCUGUAUUUAAGGAAAAGCUUUAUUCCACCAAAAAAAAGUCGACAAUAGAGUUUUCCCAUUGGCAACCAAGAGUUGUUCUUAUCUAAAUUUUCAACAGCAUCCACACAUGCAGAAGGUCCCAUGUCACAACAAGGUUGAACCCUUCCUUGUUGCUACAGUUUUUUUGUCUUUUUUUUUUCCCUCGAGUCUUCUGGGGCUGAGGCUGAGGCAGUUGAAAACUACAGGUCACUAAAAUUUGUGGAAGUUUGAAGAUUCAAACCUCAUCCAUCAGAUUGAGAUAGAUAUAGGGAAUCUAGGAUUAAGCUAUUGGCCAAAACAUAGGAUUUGAUCAUACAACCGCUUUCAGGGUUGUGUUGAAUUUUCAUACUCCAUUUCAUUUUCUUUUCCUUUUUUUUUUUUUGGUUGGGGUGGGGGGUUGGGGAUUUGUUAUACAGGGUAUAUUGAAGUCUUUGUUUCUCAAGGUAGUUCUAUCAUGGGGGGCUAGAAGGUGUUGAGCCCUUUCACUCAAAACUACUAAGUAUUCAGCAAAGAGUAACAUGGAAGAUAGAUUGGUAUGGAGGGAAUCACAGGUUUGUUAGUUCAAACCUUUUAUUCUUGAUUGGAGCCAAAAAGAAAAGGGACUUUUCUAGUAAAUGUACUUAAGACCCCUUUGGUGCUGAUAAAUGUAGAAUUAUUUGCUUAGGAAACACUUUGGGUUAGAAUUUUUAGAUCGAUUAAAAAGAAGGGAAUAGACUUUGGCAAAUGGACGUGAUAUUGCAAAGAUGAGGACGAAUCAACUAACCAUGCCGAUGAGGAAGAAUCAACUAACCAUGCCCCUUUUUCAUCUUUGCUAAGAUGAGGAUAUUGUGGUACUUGUUAUUCUUAUAGUUUAUCGUCAAAUGGGUGUAGCCAUCUAUGGCCAGACAGACUUCAAUCAAGUUGGCAGGACCUUUGUGGGGAAGAAGUGUUGGAAGGUGUGAAAGACUGCACGUUUGUGUUUAUUCAAGACCAUUUGAAACGAUAAGAAUAAAAAAGCAUUCUUGUGCUCUCUUUAGCUUUGGGCUAGGAGGUCUUUAGAUGGAGCCUCUAUCAUUCUAUGUCCAUUUUAGAAUUUUUUAAUUGAUUGGACACUUGUUUUAUUAUAAGAGCGGGUGCUUUUUGUUACUCUUUUCCUACUCAUUGCCGUUUUGGCACCUUUGGAUACCUCCAUGUACCAUGGUGUACCCAUACACCCUUUUUCCUUAACACUGGCAUUACCAUUCUUAUUUGCUUAUCAAAAAGCUAAAAAAAGAACAUCCUAUUUUUAGCAUUAAUAAGGAGAAAAUGUGAAGCUUCUAGCCUAG
RNAcentral lists this long non-coding RNA (53443 nucleotides) under Vitis vinifera (wine grape). Its description in RNAcentral is "long non-coding RNA (VVIN_LNC001789)". The stretch from base 9307 to 9379 matches the Rfam family "tRNA". Lineage: Eukaryota; Viridiplantae; Streptophyta; Magnoliopsida; Vitales; Vitaceae. The record is from RNAcentral.